Molecule: long non-coding RNA, 65649 nt
Filed under: Citrus sinensis (sweet orange)
Lineage: Eukaryota; Viridiplantae; Streptophyta; Magnoliopsida; Sapindales; Rutaceae
Description: long non-coding RNA (CSIN_LNC003417)
Source: RNAcentral
UGUCGUUUUCUUGGAUACAAUCACCAACCUCCUCCCUUUUUAUUAAAAAGAAAAAGGAAAAAGAGUAAAAUAGAUUAAAAUAAAAAAGUCAUUGUUGUAUGAAGGUGACACAGAGAGAGGGGAGAAUCUGUGAGAGUAGAAGUCAUGAUCCUGCAUCUAGUAUAAAAUAUGAAAAUGACUCAAAUCAUGCCAAAACAUAGUUCUUACUUAAUGGAAACAACGCUUAAAAACAUGCAUUAGUAACCUUUCAGAAAUCUAGUGCAACAGAUACGAAACCUGUACAAGAAUUGAAUCAUCCAUGGUGGUUUAUUCAAAAUCAUUUCAAUUUUUUUUUGGGUAAAAAUCAAAAUUCAACUAUGUAUACGAUAAGUAAAUUAUAAGUAAAUCACGAUCAUGUCAUAAAAAUCAAAUUUCAAAAUUACAACACAUGUCAUGUUCGUCUUUUUCUUUCAUUUUUCUUCGUCUUUUUCUUUCAUUUAUUUUUUUUUCUCAUCCUUUUUUCAUCUUUUUCUUCAUUUUUUCUUCAUUCCUUUCAUGUAUACGAUAACCUUACAAUCAUCAUUCAAAUCCAAUAUUAAAUCAAAACUAAAACUUGAUUUCUACAUAAUAAAAUCCAAAACCCAGAAGUCAGAAUCUAUAAAAUCCAAAACCCAAAACAACCAAUUAAUUGUUGGGAGAUUGAAAAUAUUGGGCGAAAGUCACAUGCAAAAUAAAAUUUAGCAGUAAGCAUUAAAUUUUGUUGAAAUUAACAAAAGAAGGUAGAAUUAGACGAAUGUGUGUGUCUGUGCAAUGUGCAAGUGGGUUUUUAAAGUUACAUUCAGCAAUGAUGAAUUUUGAAGGAAAAAAAAAAUAGGAAAAGAAGGAGAAAGAGGAAUGAAGAAACAAUAGCCUGAGUCAAAUUUGUCAAAAUCCUAUCCAAAUUGAUGCAUUAAUUGUAACAUCCCAAAUCUAAUACAUGCAAAACAAAUAAUAAAAGAGGUUACUUACAAAUCAAGAUCUUUACACAAAAAUCUUAAAUUAAAAUAUCCUAAAUUUUAUUUAAAUAAAUCCACGAAUCCACAUGUCUAAUACUAAAUAUUUUCUGCCGCAGAAAUAGAUAUGACAAAAGUCUUAAAACUCUCCAAAUACAAGUUCAUAAAUAGACAAACUUAAGGAAAAUAGAAGUUCAUCCUCCUCUUAUUCAACUAACAAAAUUAAAUGAAUUUCUAGCUCCAAAGAUAAGCACAUUUCUCAAUAAGCUACUCAAUUGCAAAAAAGUAAUGAUAAGAGGUGAGCGGUCAACUCAGUAAGUAAAAUUAAUUCCAACGCACUAGGUUUAUUGUUGAGUAUUAGAAAAUGCAUAUUUAUAAAGGAGAAAACCGUUAUUUUACAUUUUAAGUCUUACUAACAACCCUUACUUUUAUAUAUUUAACCUUCUUGUGAUUUAAUUACAUGUGUUUUAUUUUAAUUAAGUAUUUUAUGUAUUUUAGGGGCAUUAUAGUCAUUUCACAAUAAAGGAGAGAUCAGACGGCAAAACGGACAUCACUUUUGAACUCAGGACGGUCGAAAACCUUAGGAGGAGCAUAAAAGAAAAAAUGGCACUAUUCACAUGUACGGUACUAUUCACGUAUACAGUACUGUCUACGUUACUGUUCACGACACUGUUCACAUAGACGGAUCGAUAACGUGGCAUUGACCGAUGAUGUGGCAUUGACUGAGGAGGUGUCACGAUCCUGUUGGACUAAAAUUCUAAUGUACUGUUGAUGGUGACGUGGCAGCAUAUCAGUGGACGAAAAAUCUCACGUACGGUGCAUGCAUCACACAGGAUUAUUUUCAACCAAACCGCGUUACCUGCUGUACGGCCAAGGCGGAUGUACGGUACAGCAGUGAGCCUUUUAAAUUAGUUCUUGUUGGUAAGUUUUCUUUUGGUCACCCUCUCAUGGAUGUUAUUCGAAAUUAUUUUGUUUCUUUACGGCUGAAAGAAAAUCCUCAGAUUUCCUUACUUGAUAAUAGACACAUUUUGAUUAAAUUAUAAAUAGAGGAAGACUAUUCUCAUAUAUGGGUUAGACAGGGUUGGUAUGUUAAUAGUCGAAGGAUACGGGUUUUUAAGUGGUCUACUGACUUCUAUUGCUCGGUAUAAUCUCCCAUUGUUCCUGUUUAGAUAUUUUUUCCUCAUUUACCUGUUUAUUUUGUUCACUGUAAGCCUGCACUAUUUUCAUUUGCUUCUGCUGUUGGUACUCCUUUAUGAAUGGAUCAUAUGAUACAGCCUCGAUUAAUAGGCCAUAUGUUGUCCAGGUAUUGGUAGAGUUUUACAUUUCGCAGCCUUUGUUGCCACGUAUUUGGAUUGGUAAGGGCAAUUCAGGUUUUGGUAGGAUGUUAUUUUUAAGCGGGUUUCAACUUAUUGUGAUUCAUUAAUCAUCUGUCAAAAUGCUUACAUGAAUCACAAUAAGCUGGAACCCACUUAAAAACAACAUUCUGCCAAGAACCUAAAUUGCCUACACCAAUCUAAAUACGCGGCAACAAAGAAUGCGAAAUUUCAUACUCUAUCAAUACCUUGGCAACAAAUGGCCUAUUAACUAAGGUCGUAGCACGAUCCACGCAUAAAAGAGUACCAAUAGUAGAAGCAAUUGAAAAUAGUGCAGGCUUACAGUGAACAAAAUAAACAGGUAAAUGAGGAAAAAAUAUCUAAACAGGAACAAUGGGAGAUUAUACCGAGCAAUAGAAGUCAGUAGACCACUUAAAAACCCGUAUCCUUCGACUAUUAACAUACCAACCCUGUCUAACCCAUAUAUGAGAAUAGUCUUCCUCUAUUUAUAAUUUAAUCAAAAUGUGUCUAUUAUCAAGUAAGGAAAUCUGAGGAUUUUCUUUCAGCCGUAAAGAAACAAAAUAAUUUCGAAUAACAUCCAUGAGAGGGUGACCAAAAGAAAACUUACCAACAAGAACUAAUUUAAAAGGCUCAGCCAUCUCUCAAAUUUCCGCAGUGGAGAAAUAGACAGCUGGUUCACCUUUGUGUAACUGAACUGGUUUCACAGGAAUUGAUAAAGCAGUAGAACCAGUUACGACAUCUACAAUAGACUUUUGUGGUCUUGAAGUGGCACUAAAGUUGAGGACAAUAACCGAGGUGAGAGCAGAAACAUAUGAAGGCUUGGGGUUGAUGUUGGUGCCACGGUUUAUGGAGGUUGGGUUGGUAGAAUGGGUUUAAGCAUCCAAACGAGUUAGGUCAUUACGAGUGGUUGGUGGUGAUUGUUGGGAUGUCAGUGUGGGUAAGGUUAUGUUGGGAAGAUUCGAGGGUGGCAAUAGCGGCCGUGUUACAACAUCGCUGAUGUCGAGAAUGGCGCCGACGGUGUGUUGGGUAUCCCGUGACCUAGGUUUGCCAUUUUGAUGUAAGUGCUGUUGGGUUAGAUGUUAUCAGUCAAGGGGUUGAACAUAGGUGAAAUCUAGUGGAUCAUUUGCUCCGGUGGCCGCUGAAGCCAUGGGUGUUUGGUAGUGGUCUUAGGACCUUACCAAAUUUCCCUUGUCAGUCAAAGGUGACCGGUAGUCAAGCUUGGUGGUCGGGAAGCUCAGGUUAGGCCUUUCAGGCCAUGCUGACUCUAAUGAUGGUGGUAGUAGGCUCCCACGCGCGGCGAAAGUAGUAAAUCAAGCUCCUAAAGCCGUUAAUAUCCAAUGGCAGAUUGCCGGCAAAAAUGGCCGGUUUGGUCCCUGGAGUUGGUCAGAAAAUGAAGGGAGAACUGUAGGGAUCAAACCCAAGUGGUGUUACUGACGGAAACCAGCGUAAUCACGCCAAAAUGAAAGGGCGGUUGUCACUAUUUCACAAGGUCGAUCAACAUCUUUUGGUUGUUUUACGACUGUGUUGACUAGCCUUGCUUGUUCUUAUUAUCAAACUUGGAUGUUUGAGGGAGUAAAGUUUAGUUAUCACUAGUCAAGCUUUGCUCAAAGGACAAAUUAUGAAAUUAACUAUCUUUAUCCAAGAUAAGUCUCAUAUAUGCAUUCGGGACAAAAAUAUUAGGAUAAUAAUUAGAAUCUUGCCAGUUUAUAAAAAGUAACAGCUGAAAUAUUUGAUUUGUUGACUUAUUGAAUUGUAAAUAGAAUCAUAAUACAAGACUUAGAGCUUUCAUUCCCUUUAGAGGUGGACAAUGGAUUUGCCUUGGGGUUGAUUUGACUAAACUUGAGAUGUGCAUUUUCCUCCAUUAUUUUCUCCUUAACCAUAAGUGAGUUUUCUUUUUAAUUAAUCCUUCUAUUUUGUUAAAAUCAAGCAAAAUAUUGUUUGUACAAAAAAAUUAUGGUUUGAGUAUAUUUAUUUACUUAAGAGAACACUUGCAUCCAAUCAUCGUAUCAAAUUAAUCAUUCUUAUUUAUUUGGUUGUGUGUUUGUUUGUGUUUGCGGGUUGAACAACUUAAUCCUGGAUGCUUAGUUGCAUAUUUCCCUCUACCUAAGCCUUUAGACAAUUGUCUUGCAAAUUUGAAUAAGCUCAAUUGAACAUAUAUACGUAUUUUUAGAAAUUUAUUUAUCUAUAGAACUUCUCAAGAGUGGACGUUAAAAUAUGAUUUACGGAUGAAACUAAAAUAAAAAUAUACAGAUUUUAGUAUACUUUUCUCUUUUAAUGUUUGGAGUCUGUAUUUUCUGUCUUAUAAUUGCAUGCGCACAAGAUUCAUAUUUUAUCAUCCGCAUUUGAGAAGCUCUGUAUUUAUUUGUUAUUUAUAUGUAAUGUGCAUGAUUAAGUGCAAGAUAUUUAUCUAUUUACAUUUUCAAGACGUUCCAAGAAAUACCCCAAUAUUUUGGCAAGAUUUGUAAAUUUAUAAAAUCUUUUAGAACUGAAUAAAUUGACUUUUCUUAUUUUUUAAAAGAUAUUAUUUUUUUGUUUUAUUUACAAAUCAUUAGUUGCUUUGAAUCUUAUAUUUAAACAAGAGUUCUGCUAUUUACCCCGGGUCAAACCCCGAAAGCUAAAACAAAACGACGCCAUUUCCUCUUCUUCAUGAAACGCUACCGUUUCACCCUAGCAAAAGCAAACGCUUCUCUCCUCUUUGUUUUCCUCUUCCUCUGCUCUUCGUUUCACCAGGGAACGACAUAACCCAAUCCUCUUCCACUCCUCUUCGUAUUGUUCGUUUUGUUUAAAAUCCAAAUUGGGGAAAUUUCCUCUUAAACAAAUCUUGUUUUGUAUAAAAAGGAUUUGAGGGCAAAUUAAGAUUUUCAACACAUCCACAGAAAGAGAGUGAGAGUGGUGAGUGAGUUAUCAAAAAUGGUGAGAGCCCCACCGUAUGAUGGAAGAGGAAUGAAGAAAGGUGCAUGGAGUAAAGAAGAAGAUGAUAAGUUAGGAGCUUAUAUUCUGAAAUAUGGCCACUGGAAUUGGGCUCAACUUCCCAAGUUUGCUGGUAUUAAUAGAUCACAUCAAGUUAUAAAAAUCGCAUUAAUUAAUAUAUGGGAUCUUUAUUUCUUGUUGUUGAUAAUUGUUGUUUAAUUAUCAAGGAGUGGCAAGAGUUGCAGGCUGCGAUGGAUGAACUACCUGAGGCCAGAUAUAAAACAUGGGAACUACACCAAGGAAGAAGAGGAUACUAUCAUCAAAACACGCCAACAACAUGGCAAUAAAAUAAUGAAAUAAAAACUAUUGGCAUACCCACUUGAAGAGGAAGAGAAAUAAGAAGAGAGAUUCAGCUGAUCAAGUGCACGAAGAAACCUAUCAAGCAAAAAGGCAAGAAAUUAAUCUAGCUGCAUCAACAUCUAGCUGCAUCACAGUUAUUGAAACGACUACGUUUUGUGGAAGCAAAAAGGCAAAAAAAAGAAACCAAAACGGCGUCAUUUUGGUUUAAUUCGGAGUUUGACCUGGGGAAAGUAGCAUUUUCCUUUAAACAAUCCCAAAGAAGAGGGGCAAUCCUCCAGCAAACGAAUACUUCUAAGUUUCUACUUUCUUUUAGUUGUUUCUUGUUUAAACUAAAAUGAAAAAUCAUACCUUUCUUAGGAGAGAAGAGUUGAAAAGGCUUUAGAUCCUUUAACGAAAAUAAUAAUAAUAAUAAUUUGCAAAAAACAAAACAAAACAAAAGACAGUGGCAGUAAAUAACCAGUGGUUUGUUAUGGCUGAAAUUUCUCACAAUAGUACUGGGAAAAAAACCAAAGUUCCCCUGUAUUUUGACAAUUUCCUUUUACAUCCUACUUCUUUACCCUGAAUUUAACAAGACUUUGUGUUUAUUUAUGUUUUUUUUAAAUUUAACAAGAUUUUGUUAAAUGUUAACUUUUUCGAUGUCAUUACAUUUUUUAAAAAAUAAUUUUUAUCCAUAAUGACCAUAUAGACAACUAUAAAAUCAUAUGGUGUUAAUAUGUUCUUUCAUUAUUUUUUCAAAUUAAUUGUAAUAGCAUAUGGUGUUAACAUAUUAUUAUUAUUAUUGUUGUUGUUGUUGUUGUUGUUGUUGUUAUUAAUUCAUAGUAACAUCAUAUGAUGUUAACAUGUAUUGCGUUGCCAUUUUGAAAAGUUUUUUCUAAUUAAAUAUCAGUAAUCCACACUUUUACUGUUAAUGUCACAAAAUUAUAUACAAAACCACAUUUACAUUUUAUAUGCUAAUUCUAAUAGAAAUUGCUUAGUAGCCUUCCCAAAAGCUUGAAUGACAAUAUGAAACAGCAACAUUAUUUUUAAAAAAAUUAUCAAUAAUGCUACACUUACUGAGUGUCCCAACUAAGUAAGCUUAGCAGUACUCAAAAAUAUUUAUUGUAAAUAUAAACUCUAUUUAAUUAAAUAGUAUUAUGUGUUAGAUUUCAUGAACAAUUGUUCAUUGGCUCAAUGUAAAGAUUCUUUGUUCAUCACAUAUUCACAUGAAUCUCUAAAGGCAAAAGAAAGAAACUAAAACCAACAUUUGAUUACCGAUCAAAGGAUAUUAAAAACAAAAAUAUUUAAUAUCAAUUAAAAGAAGAGCAUAUAUAUAUAGCCUUUUUCAUUUAAAAUGAUAAUUAUAUUUGUUAUUCAUUGGAUGCAUUCAAUCCAAAUAAUCAUAUGAAUUUAAAGUCGAAAUGUACUGGUGAAGAUGUUGUGGGGAGAACUUUCAAUAAUCACAUUGUCUCUAUUUGAAAAAAAGAAGAGAGAGAGGGAGAUUUACUACUAUAUAUAUUGAGUUUAAAAGAACUCAAAGCAAUUUACUUAUCAACUCGAACAAUUACGGGUCUAAAAUUAUUUUAAAAAUUGAUUAUUUGUGAAUCUACUACAAUACUAAACAUUCUCUGAAAGAGUAUAUAUUAGAGGCUACGACUACGUUGCACAUGCGGCAAAAAACCCCUUGCUUGCCUUCUUCUAAAGCAAUUGUUGGAUAAUAUUCAACGUCUAAGGAUUAUAAACGCAAUAUUUUUUGAGUUAUCGGUAAUGCUUAUUUGUUAUACCUUAUCUAAUAGAUAUAUGUGUUUAUUUAAUCUCAUAAACUCUUUUCAAAUUUUUUCUUGUUGUUUGGUUGUCUUUUCAGUAGAGUUUUUUAAGAUUAAAUAAGUUAUUUUGUCUGUAUUAAUAAAAACUUAAAUUUUAAGCUUUUAAGAAUAGAGGUUUAGAAUUUUUUUUAAAUAUUAAAAUGUCUAAAAUAUAUUUUCUUUAUUUCAUAAUUUUAUUUCACUUCUUUAUAACAUAACUUUAAACAACUUGUCUAUUAAAGUAAUUUCGUAUUUUUUAAUAAAAACUUUCAUUGACAACUAAACAACUAAUUUUUUUUAUAAAAGCCCUAUUUAUAAAAGUUCUACUAAUAAAAUCUCUACUUAAAUAAACUCUAUUUGAAAAGUUAUACCAAACGCAACCUAAGUCGAUAAUUAUAGGUUAUUAGCUAAUAAACAACUUGUAGACAUACAACAAUUUUUUGUUACCCAAUAAGUCGGCAGUUGUUAGGAUCAUAGCCAAAUUAAUUGUUUAGGAUAGAUCUUGAGUACUUUGUCAUAGUUUGGGUACACUUAGAUCACGUUGAUUGUGAAACAAAUAAAAAAAAACACCACAAAAGAGUCAUAUACAACAAAAAACCGAUAAGAACAAAAACAGUAAAGAGAAUAACACACAGAUUUAUGUGGUUCGGCUUUAUUAGGCUUAAAUCCACGAGACAAACACACUCUUCCUGAGUUUAUUAAUUGUCAAGGAUUUUACGGUGGAAAUACAUUGAUUUUUAGAGGUUACACUGAUUUUGUUCUCUUGUGAUGCAGCUGAUUUUUACUCAAAUCUAUCGUACUUUGGCUAUCACAAAACACACAAUAGUGCUCAAAUCUCACACCAUUUACUUAAUCAAUCCUUUUAACCAGAUUAACUCCUUCAUUACUUUUGCCAAAGUGACAUACUCAGUUCCGGUUGUGGAUGGAGCUAUCACAGAUUGCAGAAUAGACUUCAAGAUUCUAUCUUACUGUAUUACUCUUUACCCUGAACAUGUACCCUAUCAGUGAACUACUUUCAUCUGUUGGAGAAAGAUCAAUUUUUUAAAUUUUUAUAAAACCUUUUUAAGAUCGCUCUCAUAUAAUAUAUAAGAAUUUGUAAUCUAGAAAUCGUACCUUGAAAAUCCAAUUUGGCUUUUUCCGCUGGAGUGAUUUAGGCUUCUAGAUCACGAUCCGUCACCACCACUCCUGUUAGAUCACGAUCCAUCACCACCACGCUUGUUAGAUCACGAACUGUCACCAAUGAUCUUCCAGGUUAUGACUCAGGUUCGAUCUGCACUUGACGUGUGGGCGCCUUUAUCAUUACCAAAGCAACUAGCAUGAGAAAAUUUUUCUCUCGACAAUAGAGAGAAAAAUCUUUUUCUCUGAUCUGUAUAAAGUGACUGCUCUCUAUUUUUUUUAGAGAAAAAUAAGCCUUUUAUAUCUCCCUUUAGUGAAAACUCUAGGCUCCAAAUAAUUAAAAAACUAAACUCACGUUACUUGCUUUUUCUAUAGGGGACACACCUUGUAAAAUAACAUAAGACCCCUUACACACAAGCUAAUUAAAUGGAGCCUCCCACUAAAAGAUAUAUUUAAGCUUUUGACUCAAAUAACUAGUUAUCUUACUUAUUAGUCCAGUAGUGGUGCAGUCAAUUUAAUUCCAAAUCUACUCCACUAAAAGAUUGAAACAGACUUCCAUAAUUGUAUGCUCGAAUAAUAAUUCGUCCCAAGCCACAUUGAUUUCUUUACUGCACAAUCCUUUGUACCACAUCGUUAAUUAAAUUGAUAUCUCAACUGUCCAAUCAAUUUAAUAACAUCUUAUUCCUCUGCUGUACCGUACAUCCGCCUUGGCCGUACAGCAGCAUUCUUUUUCAUUUGUAAAUAUUUAAAAUUUUCUCUCUUUAAAAUCUAAAAAAUAUAAAUAAUCAAUAUGAAUAAAGAAACAAAAAAGAAAGAUUUUUUUUUAAUUAGUUGCGAAACCAAAAUGAAUUUAGUAAAAAUGAUAACCAUCUAAUAUUCAGAACUUGUAAAUGAAAAUAAGUAACGCUUAAUAGGUUGUGGCCACAGUAUUUUGUUUCCUUGAAGCUCCUAUGAUGCAUUUCAUGCACAAUGUGUGCGUCUUAUUCCUUCUCUUACCAAAAGCUUCAUGUUCCUUUUCCAUUUCUUCUGCUAUUUCAAAAGUGAAAAAAAAAAAAUUGAGAUCUGAGCUACUUAGGAAAGAACAAUUGGAUUUAAAAUUGAAAAAAAAUGAAAAAUCAUACUUGUGAGAGGGAGAGAAAAAUAAAUAAAUUGGGUUAAUUCUUUUUGCAUGUCUUUAAAGUAAUUGCAAUACCAAAGGGUUUUAUGAUAUUAAUAAAGGGAUGCCAACAAUUCAACACUAUAUGCAAUUCAAUCAAAAUCAAAUAUAAUUGAAGUCCACUUAAACGUACACUCAACCCAACAUAAAGUUCAAUACAAUUGGAGUCUAUUGAAGCUCAAUAUAACAAUAAAUCCCUACAACCAUUGAGGAGAUUUAAAUGCUCUACCUUAGAGUUGAAGAAAGGAGGUGUCGACCAACCAAACUAAAUAAUUAUUGGCUUAAACACAAGAUUUUUUUUUUUUUUAAAAAAAGCUUAUAAGAUAAACAACCCUAUAGGAGAAGUAAAAAAGAAGAUUUUAUUAUUCAAAAUUAUGAAAAUGAAUGAGAUUACCACAGUAAACUAAUUGCAAUACUACUCAAAAUAAAGCAAAUAACCUUUUAUUCCAAUUGGAUUAAAAUACUAAAAUGCAUUAUAGCUCAAACAUUAAAAAUAAAUUAAGAUAAAUACUAUUAAAAUAAAAAAAAAAACUGAAACAAAACAAAAUAAUUAUUCUAGACUUCUAAUACUUGUCUUUCUUUAAGAAAAGAGAACCUUAUUUGCCAAAUCAACAUGAUAAAUUCUACUCUUAUAAUAUAUGUAGGAGAAUCUAAUCCUCAAUCUCAAGAAAAAGGUGAUAUGCAUCAACCACUAUCGCAAAAAAGAAAAAUCUUUUAGUCUUCGAAUUCUUAACAUGUACCUUCAUUUUGGAACGAUGAAUACUAUAAAUAUCUUAGUUACAUUAAGUAGCUUCAACUGAGGAAAGCAAAAGGAGAAAAGAGCAUAGUUCUUUGGCAAAGAGAAAGGGGGAAAUAACAGAGAAUUAAGAUGCGUUCAAUACAGAGUUUUCUGUUCGUAAUACUAGGGUUGAUGGCAAUGUUGGGGACAGUGGCAUCACAUAAUUAUGCAGAUGCAUUGACUAAGAGCAUCUUGUUCUUCGAAGGCCAGAGGUCUGGAAAAUUGCCCCAAGACCAAAGGAUGACAUGGAGGAAGGAUUCUGCUCUAAAUGAUGGCGCUGACAUCGGUGUGAGUCUUCCUCUCUUCUUUCUAUUGAUUGUUGCUUCAUUUACUAGCUUGCAUUUUUGUUCCAUAUUUCAUUUUCCUUCUAAUUUUAUAACUUAUUAUAAUUCCUUGGUUACAAACGUUAGCUAAAUUACAUGAUUUCUUAGAGCUUUGAUGAUACUUUUUGAUGCUUUUAGUACCAACAUUGAUGUUAACAUAUGAUACUGUAUAUUGCUUGUUUAUCUAUGAUAUAUUUGAUAGAAAUAAUCAACACAUUGAUUGAAAAUAAUUCUUUGAAUUAAAUUGUAUAAGUUUGGUCGACACAUGAAUUAACUUUUCAGUAUAAUGCUAGACACUAAGGUUGUGUUUACUUGCUGGAGUGGGAGUGAGGAGUGUGGAUUCCUCCCACUCCAGCAUUUACUUCUUUAAAAUGGCCACGGAUUGGGAAUCCCACUCCGUGGGCCCCACUCAUUUUUGGAGUGGGGAGUGGGAGUGGGACUCCCAUUGGGGGAGGUGGGAGUGGGAAUCCAUUCUAGUGUAAGUAAACAACCUACUCCUACUACCACUUCACACUCCUAAUCCAAGGAUUCCCACUCCUCAGGAUUCCCACUCCUCAGGAUUCCCACUCCAAUCCAAAAAGUAAACGCAGCAUAAGUGCUGUUGUGAGAUUUAACUUUAUGGAAUUGCUCCAAGAAGCUAGAUUGUGAUACUUUUAUUUUUUGUUUUGUAUUAUGUGCAUGUAUUUUUAACAAUUUUUUCGAGGUCUUUUAUUAUAAAUUUUAUUUUUGUACAUGUUUUAAAGGUAAGGUUCAUUACAUCCCUUAGUAAAUGAUAAUCAAUGAACAGAAAAGAAAAUACAAAUUAUAAUUUUUUUUAAAAAAAAAAACUCUGAUUUGUUAUUUGUAAAGGUUUUUCUGAAAACUUCUAAAACUUACGCUCGAAUUAUUCCCUUAGUUUUAAAAUGAUAGUACCAAUUACCAAAUAUGCGAAGAUUAGUAAGAACAAUAAUCAGAGAGUAUCAUUAAAUUGAAGAGUCGUUGGUAACCUUUAUCAUCUUCAAUCAUUCAAAAAAUGUGAACAAGGCCCCCCAAAUAACACCCGUAUUUAAAUUAAUUUUUUCCCUCUCCCUUAGGUUGAUUUGACCGGAGGAUACUACGACGCCGGCGACAAUGUUAAAUUUACUUUUCCCAUGGCAUUCACAGCAACCGUGUUGGCUUGGAGCGUGCUAGAGUUUGGGGAUUCAAUGGGCCCAGACCAGCAUCAUGCGUUAAAUGCUAUUCGAUGGGCAACUGAUUUCUUAAUGAAAGCCACUAAUAAACCUGACACUGUUUAUUUUCAAGUUGGCCAUGGUCAAGAAGACCACAAUUGCUGGCAGAGACCUGAAGACAUGGACACACCCAGAACUGUUUUUGCUGCUACUAUAGAAAAACCAAGUUCUGAUGUUUCUGCUGAGAUAGCAGCUGCUCUUGCAGCCACUUCUAUUGUGUUUAAAUAUUCUGAUCAAGCAUAUUCUGCCACACUUCUCAGUAGGGCCAAAAAGGUAGGUAAAAUCAAUUUUAUACCCAAGUAUCUGGGAGGUGUACGUGUAUUGAAGUCAUUAAACGAGGGGUAUAUUGAAGUGUAUCAAAAUAUUUUAGUGGUUGGUGAAAAUCUUCUCAGCAUAAUAAUUUACAUAAUAUGGAAGAAUUAUAAUUUUAUAAGGUAAAAUGACACAUUCUCCCAUAAAUAUUAUUUUUAUCAUUUUAACACUGAGAAUGUAAUCGGAUAGGAAUUUUCUAAGUCAGUAUUUUAAAGUGUGGGAAAAUUCGAAAAAACUUUAAAACCAUGUAGUUUUAAAGUGUUAAUUUCAUAAUGUUUUAAAAUCGUGAGGUUUUAAAAUUUUUCCGAAUUUUCUGCACUUUCAAAUCACGGAUCAGAUCCCGAAUCAGAAAAUUACUACGUAACCGGAUACUACAAAUUUAUCAGGGAUCUAAGUGCUCAAAAUUAAGAAAUUUUAUAAGAGAUAAAGUGUCCUUCUCCCUUCUUAUAAUUAAUUAGUACAUAUAUUGUCAUUAUAAUUUUUGCUUGAAAUAGGUGUUUGAAUUUGGCCAUAAGCAUCGGGGAAGAUACAGUGAAAAUUAUGCGAAACCCCCAGGGGCGGUGUGUCCUUUUUACUGUAGCGGUGGAAUCGCAGAGGUAAGCUCUGGAAAGUUUAGUGCAAUUGCUUUCAUUUUGCCUUUAACAUAAAUGCCAGAAAGAUUGUUGUAUUUAAGGUCACAAAAAUUUCAAGUGAUAUUGUCUCAUAUGUAUAGUGUACAUAGGAUGACUUGGCAUGGGGAGCGAUGUGGCUAUUCAAGGCAACCAAUUAUGAUCAUUAUUACUGGAAUUCUGCUGUAAACUCAAGUAAAAUUCUGAACCAUAAUCUGCAUGAAUUUGGAUGGGAAGGCAAGAAUGCUGGCAUUAAUGUACUUGUCUCCACUGUAAGUAUUUUAUAACUUUCAUAUUAUCACGACAGAACCCAUUUUACCCAAUCUAAGUUUUUGUUCUUGUGUGUCGGCAGAUUGUUAAUAAGGAUGGUGCUACCAACAAAUCAGAUACCGAUCCUUUCAUUCAGAAUGCGGAUAAGUUUGUAUGCGCACUAAUGCCUGAAUCACCUACAAAGGUAGUCUACUACACACCAGGUAUUUUAACUUGUGAUCAUUUUAUUAAUUGAUCCAUUGGAACAGAAUAGUAGAAUUAUUUUAUGAUUUGAUUUUGGAUCAAAACAUUAUCAGGUGGGCUUCUCAAAUUACAGGGCGUAAAUUUUAAGCAUGCUUCUUUAACCUUUCUCCUGGUUGUUUACUCUCGAUUUUUAAAAGAAGCUAACAAAGAAAUACAUUGCGGUCAUGUUGUUGUUAAAAGGAACAGGCUGAUAGAGAUUGCCAAAGGCUAUGUAAGUCAUGAAUGUUUCUUGUGGGAACAAUUUUUUUUUUUUUAAUAGAGAAAAUGAUGAAAAUCCCUUAUUGUUUGUCGAAACAUAUAAUUUCUCCCUUCAUUUUUUAAAACUCAUCAAACCUCCUGCUGUUAAAAAAAUUAUUAACUUUUUUUGUUGUGUCUUUUCCUGUUUUACUGCUACAAAUUUGAAUUGAUUAACGAAGGAUUUUACCACGUUAAUGGUAAAAUAGUAAAAGACACAAAAAGGGAAAGUUUGCCAUUUUUUUUUUCAACAGCAAUGAAAUGGGUUUUUUUAAAACAUGAGGGGUGAAAUGAUUAAUCAUUUUUCCUCUUUUAAAUUUUUGCCAGUGAAUUUGUUUGAUUGUUUAACAGCUUGUAUUUGGAAAUUGAUAUGAAGGUGGAUUACAUGCUGGGAAACAACCCAAUGAAUAUGUCAUACAUGGUUGGAUAUGGCAAGAAAUUUCCUCAUAAAAUACAUCAUCGCGGUGCAUCUCUUCCUUCCAUGGAUAAACAUCCAGCGAAGAUCCCUUGUGCAAACAAUCACUUUUUUCACCACUCGGAUCUCAACGAGUUAACUGGGGCAAUUGUUGGAGGACCUUUUGAUAAUGACUCUUAUGUUGAUGAUCGAAAUACAGUUGAACGAUCAGAGCCCACAACUUACAUGAAUGCUCCUUUUGUUGGCCUUUUGGCUUAUUUCAAUAGACCACCACCAGCUUACAUCUAGAGGAUAUACUACGAUGGAAAUGUUACUUAAUACAAUAAGAAUGUAAGAGUUACAAUAUCAUAUUUAAUGUCUGCGAUUCCUCUUUUGAUAGUAAGUCAUCUUUGCUGCCUUUCCAGUUCAUUUUAGAAAUUUUGGAUAGUUCUUAUCUCUAUGACUAUGAUGAGCAUGACGGCCUCGGACAUUACGGUUUUCUCCUUUAUAAAUAUGCAUUUUCUAACACUCAACACCUCCAAGCAACCCAAGCUUGAGGGUUUCACUAUCCAAGCCUUCCAAGGCUUCAAAAACUUAUAAUUGACUUCCAAGGUGUCAAUGAACCUUUAUAACAAAGAGAUUAUCUCCCAAUCUCUUCACUCAAGUGCCUCACACACUUAAACACUCACAAAUUUGAUGAGAAAUUGAAAAUUACAAUAAAAACUCUCUCAAAGAGUAGAUAUACAAAUUGAAGAAUAAAGAUGAUUCAAUAAAUGAUGAUUUACAAAAUUGAAGCUCAAUAUAUGUUGUGUACACUUGUUUAUACUUACAAAGAUUACCAAAAAUGAAUUAGAUUUGAAUUUAUAUAGUUUGAGCUCAAAAACUAACCAUUAUGCACAUUUUGAUCAUAACCGACUUACUAUUUAUGGAAUCCGGUUAGCCGCUUGUAUGUUACCGUUAAGGCAAAAAUUUGAAUUUUAAAACAUCCGGCAUGUCGCUUAAUAAAUCCGGAUAGCCGCUUUCCAUCCGGAGAGUUUCUGCUCAAUAUCCGGCUAGCCGCUUGUCAUAUCCGGUUAGCUACUUGCUAUAGUAACUGUUACAGUGAACUAUUUUUUAAAAUUAUAAUUUGACCCCAAAGCUUUCCAUAACUGUAAUAUAGCCCAAACGUUAUAAAUUUUGCAAAUAUGUCCAAUUACAUAAUCUCUAAAUAAUGCUUGCUAUUCCCAAAAUUUUUUGAAAUUAUGAUAUAGCCAAAAUGCUAUGAAACUUUUCAAAUAAGUCCUCCAAAAUUUCAAGCAAUAUUUGUUGAUUUCAAAGUUUUCAACACCCUUUCAAAUAAACCAUAAACUUGAAAAACAACUAAUUUCAUAAAAUCAUUUUUCCAUUACAUAUAAAACCUUUAUAAUGUGAAAAUAAUGAUUUAUUUAAAAAGUAUAAAAAAUAAUUUGAGUUUAAAUGAUUAAUCAUUUUUAAUCUUGUUUGUUAUCAUCAAAAUCAACAUUAUGGAAACAUAUAUGUUAACAAGAAGUUCAACUAACAAUGACAAUUCUCAAACAUUUCCAUUUGAAAUGAGCAUAGUCAGAGAUUUCAUACUUCCCGGAAACUUUUCCGGCUUCAAGCAACCAUAGAGCGUUAGAUUUCUUAAACAUUUUAAUCUACUCUGCUGUACGGCCAAGGCGGAUGUACGGUACAGCAGAAAUAAUAAUAGUCUUGUCUAGAUACCGCCUUGGUUACACCGGCUUUCUAGUAUAAGGUUAUUAUUAUUUGGCACGAUAAGCCCUUAGCACCAUAUUGAUUUGAGCGUGGUUCAUGAGGUGUGGAUUCCCCCCUCAUGAUUUAAUUGGCAUUAAUACGGAUUAUUUAGCCCAUGAUGCAUGUUGAUACGGAUCCAGAUACCCAAGUACGUCAUUUCAAUAGAAUUCUCUUCAAUUCAUUCUCGCCAUUUCAAUUCCAGUUUUAGAAUUUAUUCUCGCCAUUUUAAUUUAAGUUUUAGCAUAUACCAAAUCAUUUCCACCAUAAAUCCAACAACCCAUUUACAAAAUUAAUUCUACACAAUUAAAAUCCACCUCCUCGUGGGAUCGACACUCGUCACCAUAGAUCUAUACUACAAUAGAUUCGUGCGCUUGCGAGUACAUUAAAAUUUGCACAACAUUUAUCAGGUACCAAAAAUAUUGUAAGCCUUUUUUUUAAUCAAAACGUAUGUUAUAAAUUAUAAAUUUCAUAAAAUGACAUAUUACAACAAGAUGACAUAAAUUCAUAAUAAUUCAGAAUAUCAAAAGCAUAAUUAAUCACGUGAGCAAAUCGUAUAGCAGAUAUACAGAAAACAAAAAGGUUAGCUCAUAUCACAUAGUAUCACAUAUACUCCCGGUAACCCAGCCAAAAUAGAAUCAGAAUUAGAAUAUCGUGUACACAUUCAGAACAGAAACUCAGUACUAGUCCACAACAUAUAUAUCGUAUAAUACGAUCAGAAUUAAAAUCAAAAUAACUACGUGCAAUGAGUGAAAAUAUUUAAAUUCAUUUUUCAUAUGUAAUGAUUUGCACGUGACACUUUAUAAUAUAUGUGACACUUUGCGGCACUCUGGCCUUCGAGAGGUGGCUCCCAAAUAAUCAUAAAUAAUCUCUAUCAUAUACGUGAUCAAAACAUUCUUUUCAAACUCAUAAAAAAUCAUAACAAUGAAUUAGGCUUGCAAAACAAAUUCCAUUAUGAUAUUUUAGAGAUAAUUUCAUAAAAGAUAAUUAUCUAACAAAAUAAAUUACAUACUUAAAAUAUAUUUAUAAUAUUAUGUUAAAACAAAAAAAAAACAUAAUUUUCAUAUUUGAAAGCAUUUACAUAAACUAAUCUUGUUAUGAAAAUCAAUUGAUUUUUUAAAGAAAUUUUUAAAAGAACUAUAAAAACACACGUACUUAUAAUAGUAUCAAAAUGAUUGUACACAUCCAGUAUAUUAGGAAUGAAGUUAUUUACUUCAAUAAAAGUAAUGGUCUAAACACAUCUCAAAGCCUCUAAUAGCCUCAAAUAUCUCCAACACCUUAAACAAAUAUAAGAUAUAACUAUUAACAACUCAUUUUGAGAACUUAGUUUUCUAAUUUAUACCCUUACAAGUCUAAUUCUUAGAAUUUUAACUUUUAAUCUAGAAAUCAUAAUAACACAAUAUUUUACGAACCAUUCUAGAAAUCCAUGGAUAUCUUUCAUAAAUUGUUUAAGAGGACUUGACACCAAAAACACUUUCAAGACUAUUUGUUUCUGGAUAAAUUCAAAAACUGUCUCACAAUGCCUUGAUUGAACAAUAUGGAUUCUGAGAUUUUUAUAAAAUUAUACAUUAAUCCAAAAAUUAUGAAAUUAAAAUUGGAAAUACUAGACACAUAUAUUAACCUCUAUCUAAAGUUUCAGAAUUUUUCAAGUUCAUUUGAAGGUACAAAUAAUUUUGUAAAUCUGGUCAUUCUGUUAAAACCGUUGUUUUUCAAUGCAAUAGAGUUAGUUCAAAAAUAUAUAUAUAAUAUUGAAAAUAAAGUCAAAUCUUAUGAAUUCAAUAAACCAUGUAUAUCUAGUUUACAAAAAAGAUAAGGUUCUUCUAAAAACUAAUUCAUAAAAUAUAUGUUCUAUUUCAGGAUAUUCAUACUAGAAUUGUUCGGUGUGUUACUGCAUUAGUCAACUAAUAUGAUACAAUAAUAUAUUAGUGCACUAAACACAACUUAAAUACGCCCUAAAUUGUCUAUGACAAUCCAAAAUCAUGCUAAUAAAAUCCUAAAUAAAGCACAACGAUAAGGAAUUAAGUAAGACAUAGAGAGAGUAAAACUUACCAACAAUGAUGACUCUCUCUCUCCUAAGUAAAAAUUUGAAUUCUAGGAUAUGAGUAAAAGAGUAUUGAGCAACAAAGAGAAUCAUAGAAAACGCUAUGGAUUUAGGGUUAUGAGAGAAGGAAAAGUAUAAAUUUAUAGGGAAUUUUAAGAAACCCUAUUAACCUUAGAAAAUGUAAAUCUUUUAAAAAAUUACCCCAUGAAUCUUAAUUAUGGAUUAAUAAUCCUCAUUACUAAAGAAAGAAAAUCUCGACACAUAAAGGUCCUUCUCCUUUCAUAAUCCCCUUUUUUUCCCUAAAAACAAAGAUUUGGGUAUUACAACAACAAUAGCGUUAUAGAAAUUAAGAUGAUGGAAGGUGUGCGGUUUUCGAUUUUGGGUUUGGGCGUCAUGGGAAUGGGUUCGAAAGAGUGGUGUCUGCUGUCCCUCUAAUCUAUGUGAUUUGUUUUUAUUACGCACUUUUGUUUUUCAAUUUGGUACGAUCUAAUUGAUUUCAACAACUGGAUUAAAACUAAACAAAUGGAGAUUAAAUUUAAAGGCCAGUAGGAAAGAGAAGAAGUAUGGGUGGGAUGUGGAUGUGGCUAGCUCUGGUUCAACUCAGAUGAUUUUAUUUUAUUUUAAGCGAGACGACUACCGUGACGAGGGUGUGCGUCUGCAAAUUCUAAGUAUCUUUUCUGCAUCUUAUUUUACCACCUCUAGUUUUACCUAGAUGUUUCGGCCAACCGAUGAUUCCGAAGGGCUUUUUCAUUGUUAAGCCUUGUCAUAGCGCCGCCGAGAGCUUGGUCACUGUUCUUAUUCUUCGGCAGUCAAGAGCCUCAUGGCUGUAAUUUCACAUUUGGGAUUACUUAAUUGUAGAUUAUGAAUAAUAUUUAAUCUUCAAUUAACCCUACUAUUAGUAAUAUAUUGACAUUACUUUAUUUUGUUUAUUAUUUUGAUUUGGGGAAUAAAUAAAGAAUUUGAAGAUUUCUGAGUUGUAUGAUGAAGGUGGUUUGGUGAAACUCUGGUAGCAUUUUUAUUUUGUUCUUUGAUUUUCUUUUUCUCUUUAAAAUAUAUAUAUAUUUUUUUUUUUUUUAAUACCUUUACAAAAUGAAAAAAGAAUAAUAAUGAUAAUGAUAAUAAAUAUGAAAAAAGGUAAAAUAUUAUUCUUUUUUCAUUUGUUACUUUUAAUUCAUUUCUAUUUUUAAAAUAAUUUUUUUAAAUAAAAAGAUAAAAUUUAAUCCAUUCAAAAAGAUUUUGUCAUAUAGGCACAAAAUAAAAAUAUUUUAAAGUACUAGGGAGCGUGUGAAAAUUUAAAAUAUUUAUGUGUUUUGAAAAACUUUUUAGACAUGGUUAUGGUUUUCUCGGGUAAUUUUUAAAAACCUCCCCUGAGAUUUGGGCUUGUUGCAAGUAGAUUGUGAGAAUUCGUUUAUUUGUAAAAAACCCCCUACGUUUUUGCUACGUUUGGUUGCCGUUUGGGUAGUUGUGGACAUUGUUUACAUUUCGCAAUAAAACAAAUCUUUUGCAACUUUCGUUGCCUUGAGAACAGUAGCUAGUCAUUUCAGUUACUGAUGUUCUGACACAAAUAAAAACCAAACUUGCAAAAAGAAGUUUGGUUUUGUUUCAAACAAUGCAUCUCUUUACUAUCAUUUUUUUUAAUAAUCUUAAAAACUAAAAACAAAAAACGAAAGCAAAAACAAAUAUGACCACUACCAUCAUCGUAUAAAACCCUGGAUACAAAGUCGAUUUAUGAUCAUCACAGAGGAUUACCGAAUUGAUGAGCAGCAACUUAUAGUGGCAACGAGCAGCAACUUAUAGUGGCAACGAGCAGCAGCUUACAGUGGCAACGGGCAGCAGCUCCUGCAGCGGUGGUUUCGAUUUGAGAAUGCACCAGCGGCAGUUUCGAUCGCAAGCAGUACAAGCAGGUUCAGUGGAAAGACCGUGACUGCGAUGGAUGUAGCUGAUUUGUAUGAUAAUGCUCAUCUCAUCUGUCGUUGAAGAUCAUUUCAGAGCUUAGUUCAAGUCCAUUUGUUUAUUGUGAAACAUUCCCAGAAGCUACUUUACUUCUUGUCUCUGCAAAGGACCGCAUUGAAGCACAAACCACAAGCACGAACCACUAGUCCACGAUGUAUCGCAGUGAGUUUCGCCGGCGACCCACAAGCACGAACAUCUAUGUCGAAGCAAAUCAGAGGUGAGUUGUUUGAAAACACACUCUUAUCUACUUUUUAUUUGUAGAUAACUCAAAAAGAUAUUGUGAUUUAUAUACAUGGCUUAGGUAAAAUCAGAAUUGAAAUUAGAAAAUUUUGGCUCUGUAAUGGCAGUAAAACAAGGAAAAAUUUGUUUAAUCUAUAUAUAACAUUUGCUGCAUAUGGUCGUGGACUUACAAUGGUUAAGCCUUAGAGUUUACAGCUUAUAGGAGAAUUGGUUUUUGGUUUAAUAUUAGUGGAAGACUGAACAGUCUGCACUUAACUGAUCAUAACUUACUGUAGAUAGCUCCAAAUUUAGAUUAGUAAAAUUGGUUGGAAAGCUAACAGAAAUAUCUUUCCAAUGAUGUAUGGUUCGAAAAUUAAUUCAAUUUCAUGCAGUACAGUUUAAUUCCCAAAGAUGCCCCUUCUGCACAGAAAUUCUGCUCACUUGAUUAAUGUAAGAACUUAAACUAUGAUAUUGUAAAUCUUUGGAAUUGACAGGGAUAAAAUUGUCAAAAAAUAAGGUUUGUGCUUUUCGCGCCAAUAAUUUCAGCUUUUUUUUAGUUAUGUCAGUCUACAAACUGUUGUUAAGGGCAAUAUUGUCUUUGCACAGUCAACUAAUGGUCAAUGUAAAAAUUAACUGAAGGUAGGGAGUUUUUUACAAAUAAACAGAUUCUCGCCAUCUAUUUACAACAAGCCCAAACCUCAGGGGAGGUUUUUAAAAAUUACCCUGGUUUUCUCUCCUUUUAGUAGCAUAGAUUUCUCUCUCUAGUCUCUAUUUUCAUAUUUUUCUCCUGUACCUUCUUCUUCUUGUUCUUUCUUUCUUUUUCUUUUUUAUUCUCUCAUUCUAUUUCCACAUUUUCUUCCUUUUUUUUUUAUAGAAAUUCUAUAAUACAUUUGAUAUGUUCCAUGUCGUCACAUAACGUGGAACCACCACUAACUAAUUAUUUUUUAACAUGUGUCAAUAAUUUUUUAAACCUGAAAAUUAAUUUAUUAAAAGUUAAACAGUUUUCUCCAAUUCUCUCUCUUUCCUCUGGUUUGAAAAUUUUAUCUUCCCCCUUCCAAAUUUUAAGAACAUAAAAUCCAAGAAACAUUAAUUUAUUAGAAAAUAUAAAAAUAAUUAAUUAAAUCAAGUGCCUUGCAAGUCUUUGGUAAUCCUGAAUUGAUGCCCCUUCUUCUUCCCAUUCAUAACUCCAUUCCCUCUAAAAAUGAAUCUUUGAUAAUCUCCUUUGAUACUGAUUCUGCUUCCCAUUCACAACUCCAUUCUCCCAGAAAAACAUUUUUUGCAUCAAAUCGAAAGGUUGGGGAGAGAAUAAGCCAAUGCUGGGUAUAAAAGGAAAAAAUCUUUGUCUGUAAAUAACUGGAAAUUUAGUAAUACAGUGAACCCAUCGUAAAGUUUGCAUGCAUCAAGUCCAAUUUUAUUUGAGUACAUAUAAAUACUGUCAUUGAAAUGAUUGCAGUGAUGGCAAGCUGAUAAAUAAGCGAAUUCACAUUGUUGGGUUUGUAAUAAAGAAUGUUUUUAACAUCAAAAAUAUAUUUUUGAAUAAAGUGUCUUGCUUUGUUGCUUGUUUUUUGUAGGGGAACCAAGUUGUUAAUGGGAAGCAAAAUGAGCAUUAAAUUAGGAUUACUUUUAGAUUUGCAAAGUGAAUUAAGACGAGGGAUUGUCAUACUUCAAAUAUUUGUAGAAUGAAUAAAGACCCUUCACCAAAUUUUUCUUUUGCCCACCACCUGUUUGUUUGAUGUACUAUGAAACAAGUUAAAAUAUUAGUAUUGAAUACUUGUUUCUAUAAUUGUUUGAUUCAUUGUUUCUUGAUGGACAAAUAUGUGUCACGAUUAUAUAAAUUACUUACAAAUUCAGAAAUUAAUGCAAAUAAAAUCUUUAUGUAUGUUUUAUCGGUUGGUAAAUAUGUCCCCAUGAAUGGAACUCUGUAUGCAGCGAAGCCAUUUGAAAGAGAAUUAUUUAUAACCAACUUCGGUGAAAAAAAAAAAACCAGAUAUUCAAAAUUUUAAAAGACCAUAAAAUAGUUUUUCAUUGCUGCUCAAAAUUAAUCCUCACGUAUCAAAAUAUUCUUUUUUUUUUUUUUGCAUUAAAUAACAAAAUGGAGGCACUAGUAUUAAAGAUAAACUAAAAACUCAUAAGCUCCUUAGUGAUAUACAAUUUAACCAACAAUAUUUUUCGAAUAAAUUUGAGAAGCUAGAAAAAGAAAAAGUAUCUAACAGUAAACACAAUUAUCAAAUGAACAAAGAUUCGUCUACCAAUAUCAACAUUAUAAAUUUAACCACCCUAAUAUGUAAAAUUGCAUAUUCCAUAUUCAAUAAAUGCCUUGGCAACCUACACAUGCAAAAAGGGGAAAAAAAAAAUCAAUGCAAUGUUUAAAAAAUAAAAAUAUUAACUAGUAAAUAUAAACAACGGUAAGAUGCUAAUUGGAGAACACACCCCACAUACCAUUCACAGGAUAAUGGAGUAUCAAUGGAAAGAAUAAGGGGCAAGCGAGAUUACCAAAGAUUUGCAAAGACAAUUUAUUCAAUUAAUUAUUUCUAAAACUUAUAAUAAAUUAAUGUUUCUUGGUUUUUUGUUCUUGAAAUUUGAAAGAGAGAAGAUAAUUUUUCAAACCAGAAGAAAGAGAUAGAAUGGGAUAGAAUUGUUUGAUUUUUAAUAAACUAAUUUUUAGAUUGCAAAGUUAUUGACACAUGUCGAAAAAUAAUUAGUUAAUCAUUCCAUAUUAUCUGAUGAUAUAGAACAUCAUAUAGUUAGUAAACUAAUUAUGUCGAAAAAUAAUUAGUUAAUAAACUAAUUAUGCUCACACUUACAUCCAUGACAUGCCAAAAUCUUCUGGAAAAGUUUCAAAAUUUAGUACAUAUGCAAAACACAUAAUUCAAUAAACAAACAAUUAAUAAAUUUUUAUUAUGUCUUUUUGUAUUUAUACACAAAUGAGUGUUCAAAGAGUGCAAGUAUAUAGCUUCAACCUUUUGAUUUUGUCCAACACUCUAUUGUUCCUUACAUAUAUAAAAGCAUACCUUAAUUGAUAUUUGAAUGUUAUGCUACUAUUUGUUAUUAAUGUGAAUAAAACAAAUAAGUAAUGACAGAACAUUUAAAAAAAAAAGAAAAGAAAAAGAAAAGACAUUUAUCCAACACUUUCAUAAAUGUUUUCUUUCACUCAAUAUCUAUAAAAGAUUGUGGAAAAACAUAUUCAUGAGUUUGUUUUAAUCAUCUGCCUGUUCUUGUAGGACAAUAAUUAAACUAAUUAUUUGUAAUUAAUUUCCUUCUUUAUGCCUUCAUAGACGAGUAAAAAUGAGAAUAAGGAUUAUUAUAUACAUAUAGGGAAAGUCAUUAUAAUAAUUAAGAAAUGCACCUAAAAAGAGCACGGGUAGUAGUAGCAAAAUAGAAUGUAUAGAACAAUAUUAAAUAAAUAAUAAGUUUUUCGUUAAUUUUGUUGAAAACUAUUUAUUUCACGAAACUCCUCCAAAUUCUAGGAAGUGCCCUAACUUUUGUUCUUUAUGAAAAGUAUGAGAAGUUUAUGCUCUUUAAUCUUAAUCCAUGUUGAAUUUGUUUGAAAUUAUUUGUUAGGAGUCAAAGUAUUGGUCACGUUUUUAUUAGCUCAAGAAUGAUACCCUCAUAUGGUGAGGAUAUUAUGAAUAAAUUAUGAAUUUAUCUAUGGAUGUGUAAUAUAAAUUGUGCAAUAUCCAAAUUCAAGUUGGAUAUUUACUAUGCCUAAAUUGACGGUCUAAUUUCCUCUCUCAUACAACAAAAUAACUUAUAUUAUUAACCACAUACACCUACUUUGGAUUAAAUUGCCCUUAAAACAAAUUAACCAAAAAUUUCAAGAGUUAUCGGGCCGAUGGACUAUAUGGGCGAUGAAGAACAUUGCCCAAGGCAGAUUCAUUUGGGCAAUGGUCAUUGGCACACCAUUGCCCAAGCAAGAUUCAUAAUUCAUUUUUUUUUCUGUUUUUUUGCUAAUUUUAACAUUACACAGUCUAGGGGCGUUGACAGAUCGGAUUUUGCGAAUUGGACAUUAAUCCAUAUCCAAUUCAUGAUUUUGCAGAUUGUAAAUUUUUAAUCAAAUCCAAUCAAUGGAUUGACGAAUUCAAUCUCAAUCCAAUUCAUAUGUUUGCGGUUCGGAUGCGAAUUUGACCUAAUCCACAUCCAAUCCACUAUUUUACAAAUUAGUUUGCGGAUUAAAAUUUUUUAAUUAUGUUCAUUCUAUGAACGCAUUAAAUAAAAAAAUCUUAUAUAAAAAUAAUUUUAUUACUGAUCAAAUUCAAAAUUGAAUAAGAUUUAAAUAAAUUAAAUGUUUAAAUAAAGAUAGAAUAAUACAUUUAAAGUCUCAAAAUAUAACACAGUGAAAAAAAAAUCUCAUUUGUUUAAAUCAAUACAUGAAAUUAACUGUUAAAAAAGCUAUAUUUGUUUAUUUAAUUAUUCAAUUAUUUAAUUUUUUUAUUAUAUAUUAUUAUCGGAUAAGAUAUAUAUAGUGUUAAUGUAACUAUAUUUUUACUUAUUUAUUUAUUAGUAAGUAAUAACCCCCCAUUUACAAGUUUUAUUUUUUAAUUAAAUAAAUAUAUAUUUUUUAUUUCUUUUGCGGAUUCACAGAUUUUUACGGAUUUACAGAAUUAAAUCCAUAUCCAAUCCACCGACUGGGGAUUUUUAAAUUUUCAAUUUAAUUCAAUCCACCAAUCCACAUAUUGAAUUUUUAUGGAUCAGACGGAUUGAGUGGAUUGGAUUAGAUUCUGAACACUCCUAACACAAUUGGAAAAAAAUAUGAGAAUAAAUAAUAAAUUAUUCUUUAUAAUAAAUUUUUUUAAAAAUUAUUCUGUAAAAGAAAUUGACAACCUUGGGAUGGAACGUUGGUGAUGGAAGCAUUGGCCACAAUGACAUUGGUACAGGCGAAGAAAGCCAUCGCCCAAAUUGACAUGGGAGAUGGCUCGUAGGCAUACUAAUUUCAGUUAAGUUCUUGCAAAUAAGUGCUUUUGGUAUCAAAAACUAUAUAAUUAGAGGCAUCCUCAUCAAACUUAACAAUAUAUUUGAAAUUAUUUUUUAAGAGGUAUUUUAACAAACAUUUAAUGUGCCAUAUUUUACAAAACCUAAUCUUACAAAAUUAGAAAUUUUUAUGCCCAAUACAUAUAAUAAUUCCUUAUCUAUCAUGUAUAAUCCAUCAAACGAAUAAUUUAAAUAGCAAUUAAAGAACAAAUCCGAUCGAAACCAUGAAAUAAAUUGUGCACGAGCAAAACAAUUUCUCCAAGUGAAGCCAAGCAAAACCAAAUCUUUAAAUUUGAUCAAAACUAUAAUGGAAGCCACCACUGUUAAAGGAACUGGCGAUGUGGGCGAUGCAAAACCGUGACAGUAGAUGGGGGCAAUGUGGGUGUAGCUGGUGCUUGUAGAUUUGGUUUUGGUUGGUUUAUUUAAGGGUAGUUUGGUCUAAAGCGAAUAUAUAUGUGAUUAGCAAUUUAAGAAAUUUUGUUGUAUAAUUUGUUUUCACAAUGAAAAUUUUAAAAUGAUCACAUGGAUAAGUUUCCCAUAUAUCAUAGGGGUUAGGUUAUCUACAUUAAUCGUGUGUGGAUUUGGACAAGACCCAAAACAGGGUAGACCCGACCCGUCGAAUUUGCACGACGAACCAUUAUAGUUGUCGGGUGCACUUGAACAUCACAACCCGGCCCGCCCCGUGUGGCCCAACAACGCAGCACAGCACAAACAACUCAAGCCAAUCACACGGACACUAAUGCCCUCCAGUCCCCCCGGGCCCCACCAGUCUCUCUUCUCCAAUUUGAAAAAGCGCGAAAAAUCAAAACAUUCGUUUCUUCUAGGGUUUUAGCUCUCUGAAGCUCACAAAUCUCCUCCAAUCCAAUGGCCAGUACUAAAACCGUUGAUUCCUCUCUCUGGUGGAACCCCUUCGUCGAGCUACUCACCGAGCUCGAAACCGCUUCUCUCUCAUCCGACCUUUCUCCCAAACUUGUAAGCACUUCACACCCUCACGCACGCUCUCUCUCUCUCUCUAUACGCAUGUAAUGUAAGUAUAGGUGUGUGUACAUGUAUAUUUUGAAUGAAUUUUCUGUGUUUUUAAAUUUUUUUAGGCAAAGAAGUUAGAGGAAAAUCGCGCGUGGUUUGUCGAAACGGUGUCGCGCUUCAAGCCACCGAAUGAGAAAUCGAAGGAGGCGUUGAAUUCGCAGAUAGUGAAACUCGGUGAUCAUCAUCAGUUGUCUAUAAAGCCUGAAUUGAAAGAGCAGGCUUUGAAAAUUAGCCCCUAUUUAGUGAGUUUCUCAGUACUUUUAGUUGCUAACUUGUAUUUUGAACGGCAGCUUCAAUUUUAGUUAUACGCUAUAAUGUAUUGUUUCUUGUGAAUUUUAAGGAUUACAUGCGGCAUUACUGAUUAAUUGACUUUAAUUGCUUUUUUUUUUUUUAAAUUCUGGCAUUACUGAUUAAUUGACUUUAAUUGCUUUUUUUUUUUUUAAAUUCUGUUUGUAAAGAUUAGGAAUGGAAUUUUAAUAAAAACUGCAUUUUGUUGUUAGAUUCUUGUUUAAAGAUUUUUUAAGGUUUAUGCAAAUUGGGUGAUUUAUUUUUCACAAAAGUGCCCCUUUAUGAAAAUCCAUUAACUAGGGUAACCUAAUUCAGCACAUUGUCAAAAGGAAUGGUUGGAUGUUAUUUAUUUUGUAAUGCAAGAUAAGCAUAUCUAGAUUUAUUUGAUCAUUUAUUGUGGUAACUUGUCCUUUGUUCAGUGUUUAGAUGAGGUGCAAUCAUACAUUCUUGUUGAAAGGACUCAGAAGCAGCGCAAUGUGGCUUUUGAUUCUAUUGUUCAAGAGCCCAUUCAUGUGGUUAGUCACUUUCUUCUUAUGCUGUUCUUUUGUUUUGCAUGUGGUUUUAGUUUUUUUUUUUGUUUUGUUUCUUAUUCUAUAAUUUAGACGAUUCAUCAAUUAUUUGGAUUGUUGACUGGGAUUGAUGCUUUAGGCUUUUGAUUCUGUUGUUCAAGAAUCCAUUCAUCAACUUCUUUUUCCUAUUGCAGGGUGUAGGCCUGCUUUAUUUUAGUUGGAUUAUUGACUGGGAUUGAUGCUUUAGUGAGAUGUUUCAUCAAUUACUUGGAUUUGAUGAAGCAUGUAGCUCUGGUUGUUUGACCCUUUUCAUCGAUCCUUUCCUGUGAUUUUGCAGGUAUUGCUUCAGUAUUACAUAGAGCGACAGUGCUUGUUGAAGUGUACAAGACGGAUUCUCAUGCAUGCUUGUAAAUUCCUAUUGAAAAUGUCUUAAUUCUCAAUUUCCCUGUUCUUUCAUCUUAUGGAACGGUUGGUCAUUCAGUUUGACCUGGACACUUCCAUGGCUUAGACUCAGUUUAGUUUUUCAACUAUUUCGUAAUGUAGUGCAGCAGAUUGUUUUUUUUCCUUGCUGCUAAUCCAACUAAUGUUCGUGCAGUAUAUGUUGAUCCUAGCUUGAAAGAAGGGAAUGCUGUUGGGAAGGAGGCAUUAAAGCUGAUCUCGGAUGGACUGGAAGCCAAAUUGUUUUCUGUUCUGCAGGCCCUUCUAUCUGCUACUCAUCCUGUAGAGAUGGUAUGCCUGAGUUCAUGUUUUCUACUACCUAACCUAUAUCAUUUUAUAGAACAGGGAAGCGAAAUGCAUCAAUUGAGUGCCCAAGCACAAUCAAGACUUCACCAUUUCAAACCUAUCCGCUGAGUAAUGAUCCUAUCAUUGCAACAUGUUUGAUGAUGUAAAGUUGCUAUGAGUCACUGGAAAUUUUUGACAGUUGUAAGAUGUUGAGUAGAGCAUGGUUCAAUGUAAUUAAUGUGCAAACAUGUUUAUUGCAUAUUCACACAAGUAAGUUUGGUUAGUCAAUAAUCAUGUAUAUGUCACAUAAACACUUUUCCUGUAAGCCCUUAUGCUUCUUUAAUCUCCUUUGACUUUUUCAUUUUCUUCUGUAGUAUAAUGGCAUUACCAUGAAAUCUUUGUGGCUUAUUUUUCCCAUCAGCUAAUGUAUCUAAGCACCUUCAGAUUUGAUUUAGAUUUUUUACUGUUUUACAGGAUACUGAUCUUUUCACUUUGUGGGCCGAAGAAACGCUUAUUGAAGACAGUUUGGUUUUGGACAUUCUUUUCCUUCUUUAUUAUGAUUCCUUUUGCACUUGUAAUGGUGAGAAAUGGAAGAAGCUGUAUUCUCUUUAUAAGGUAUAAUGUUAUUCUUCUCAUUUAUGAGGUAUGCAAUUGUCCUGUUUAACUUUUCUAAUCUUAAUCCUUGUUUGGAAUUUGGAAACACUCAUGAUGCAGGGAAUUUCAUCUGGAUCUUAUAAUUUUGGAAAGCUGGCAAUUUCAACUGAGGCACUAAAGUCAUCUUGUGAUGCCAAAAUACAGCUGCUGCUUACACUUAUAGAAACUCUGGACCUUGAAAAUCUUCUUCAAAUGAUUCAUGACGAAACACCUUCCAGGUUUUUUUGCUUGUUAUUAAUUCCAUUUUACCUAUAUUUGAUUUGUCGAGGACAUUUCAAUCAACCUCUCUCUCAUCUCUUCUUUGCUUAGAUUGUUUCAUUACUAUAAUUUUUUCUUUCCUUUUCUGGUUCUGCUGGGGAGCAGCUGUCAUAUCUGUGAUAUUGUCUUUUACAUCAAUUGUUUUAUUUUAUAUAAUUUCUUUUCCCCUUUUUUUGUCUUUUCUUCAUCUGGCUUACUCAAUUGUUCAACCAUAAUUGUUUUCCAUUUCUCAGUCAGGAUGCUUUUGUCUUUUCUUUAAAUGAUGUUCAAGAGAUGGACGCAUUAUUAUCAACUUUGGAUGUUUUUGAAAUGAAAGAAGCAGGUCUGCUAAUCCUUGCCUGGGCAGUGUUUCUUUGCCUAAUUUCAUCACUCCCAGGAAAAGAAGAAAAUAAUGUGCUAUCAGUAUGUUUUCAUUGUUUCCUUUUUCUUCCCCUUCUCUCCCUCUCCCUGAUUAUGUUUGAUGUUGUCAAUCUUGACCUCAUUUUUCUUUGAAUCAUUUUAGGAAAUUGAUCAUGUUGGCUAUGUUCGUCAAGCCUUUGAAGCUGCAUCAUUGAAUUGUUUUUUCGAUAUCCUUCAAAGUGAUUUAUUAAAGGAAACUGAUGUAAGUUGUUCUCAGUUUAGAGUUAUUGUUGCUUCAGGGUGACUCUGCGUAUUUUCUAGUGUUUUACUUGAUUUGUACUUUUCAUAGUGAAGCAUUUAGUUUUUUGUCUGGGAUGAAGGUACGCUUCAUUUUAAAAUUUCUGUUUAUUGUUUCAGGGAACAGCUGCUGGUUAUCGAAGUGUAUUGAGGACUUUUAUUUCUGCAUUUAUUGCAUCUUACGAGAUCAAUUAUCAGGUAGUUGAACAUCUGCUUUUGCUUCUAAGGUAAAAUUCUGGUUCUUUUUUAUGGAUGAUGCCCUUUCCUUUUUGCAGUUAGAGGAUGGUACCCUGAAUUUGAUACUGGAUAUUCUCUGCAACAUUUAUCGUGGAGAGGUUUGGAUGUAUAGUAAUUAGCAGUUUGCCCCUCAGGGUUACUCAUUGAUUUUCUUUUUAAUUAUAUUUCAUUGCUCAUUGUUUACUAACUGGAGAUCCUCUUGCUCAACCAUCCUGUAGGAGUCACUUUGUAUUCAGUUUUGGGAUAGAGAAAGUUUUGUUGAUGGUCCUAUUCGAUGUUUUCUUAGCAACUUAGGAGGUGAAUUCCCCUUCAGGACAUUGGAACUUGUUCGCUUUCUGUCAGCUCUCUGUGAAGGCAGAUGGCCUGCAGAAUGUGUGUAAGUGGAAUUUUAUUUUUUGUUUUGUUUUAAUUUACGGUAUUAUGGUUGAUUACCUUACAUUCUGUGACUUGAAAACUAUAAUUAUUUUUAAGGUAAAACACCUGGUUUCUGUUGCAUGGGAUAUUUUGCAUAAGUCCAGAUCAUCUCAGCUUGCUUAACUUGUACAGUGUUUUUUUAUUAAAAAAAAAAAUUUAGAAUGUGACCCUGUUUAUGUUUAUCUGGAACUUAAGCUUUAGCUACUUUUACUCAUGAACCUUUCUCUAUUAUGCAAGAAUAAAAAAAGUGUUAUCAUAUUAGAUUGCAGUGAUUAAUCUGACACUCCAAGUAAAACCAAAGAUUCUAAUGCCAAGAUUCUUCAGCUAGACUGUUGAUACACGUGUAAAUUUAUAGUUUGCUUAUUGUUUGAAUAAAUUAUAAUAUGAGCUUAGGCUUUUUAGUGUUAUUGAAUCACUUUGUGAUGAUCUGUUGAAAUCUUUUCAUAUUGGUGAACUUUUUGGAAAUUUAUGGAAUGUGCUUUUAAAUUUUUAUUUCCGGAUACUAUUUUGAAUAUAAAUUGCUAAUUGAGUUGCUAUAUAAUAUGUAAUAAAUCUUCCUGUCAACAGGUAUAAUUUUUUAGAUAAAUCUGUUGGUAUAUCUACCUUAUUUGAGAUUACUAGUGAAUCCUUGGUAGAUAGCACUAGCACCUCUCAGAUUGUUGAAACUCGCCAGCCAUUGCACGUUCCUGGGGUCGAAGGUUUGCUUAUUCCUAGUAAAACUCGAGGGCAGGUUUUGAAAGUAUUUGGUGGCAAUACUGCUCUUGUUCGUUGGGAGGUAAAUGAUCUAAGUUUCUGGAUGGUUCCCAAGUGUUUGCUACUUGUCUCAUGUUAAAGACUUUUGGAGAUUUCUAAGAACAUUUUUCUUUAUCUUUUUUCAUUGUUGAUUUGUGAAUGCAUUGAUGAUGAUGUAAAGGAUAUUUUCUGAUGUCAGUCCUGCAGUAAGUUUGUUUUCUUUCUUCCUUCAUCUGUAGCGUAUGCAAUUAUAGAUUUCUUACUAUCUGGGUGUAAGUUUGAAAUUGCACUUAUUAGCAAUAUCCAUGUGGGUACUUCUGGUCUUUGUGCUUCGAGGUUGGACUAUGUUCACAUGCAUGAAGCAACAUAUUUUAGAAAUUUCAUCUGUUUCAUCAAAUCACAUGCUGUCAUGUGGCAUCCCAUUAAUGUUUGCCAAUAAUCUGUGGGUUCACUAAUUACAUGAUGAAAAAAAUAUUUUCCCCUUCUCUCUUGCUCUCCUGUUUUGCUUUGUUUGGUUGCAUUCUGUAUGUGAUGCUAUGAACACUGCCUUUGCAUGGUACAUCAAGAAGUUCCUAAUAUUGGGUGGUUUUCACGUAUGUUCUUUAGUUGUCUUCUGCUUCCUUUUUGUACUCAUGUGGACCUCUGGGCCUCCUUCAUAAGGCCAGGAGCAAAGUUCAAUAUCUUUGGGUUCUGAGUGCAAUUUCAGUUGCUUGUUCAUUUUGUUACUGACACAUGCUCCUUUUUUGUAGUAUAAUCAAUCUGCAGUGGUCGUAUUGCUCCUGCGUUUGGCCCAGGAGCAAUAUCCAGAAAGCAGUGCAGAAGCUCUUCUUAUUCUGGAUUUGUUUAGUCGAAUGGUGUCCUUUAACUCGGUAAUUCUUUUUGGUAGUUGUAAUUGUUUUUCAUUGACAUGUAUUCUUGGAAACAUUCUAAUUUAGGUUAGAUGUAGUGGUAAAGUUAUUAUUCAUUUUUGUUAAGAGUAUUAUGUUUUAUACUAGAUUUUAUCUUUUUAAGAAUAAUUGUGAUUUGGCUACUGGCUUGUGAUAUAUAUACAAAUAAGGUGAGGGUUGAAAUAUAUAACUCCACCUACAUUAGCUAUAUAUACUCACCUCUCUUCCCCCCUUUCUCAUUCUUCACCCUAAUAUUGUCAAUAGAUGGUAAAAUUCAACCAUUAUGAUGACAUAUAGUGGAGGUCAGUUGUCGGUUGAUGGUAGUAGCCUCGAAGGUGUUUUUAGUAAAGAUGCUAAUUGAAUGCUUUGAGAUGUUUGUUAAACCAUGAAAGUACUGUGCUAUAGCCUUAGUUAAGUAAUUGCCCAUGCUAAAAGACAGUAAUUUUUGUUAAAGCCAUCUUUUUUUUUUAUUGUCUAUGCCAUUUAGCCUUUGAUUUUACGUAAUAUUACUCCUAACGCUAACUUGAAGACCCAUUUCUUCUAACCAUAGUUCCUGUCAACGUACUAUGUGCAGGCCAUACGUUUUGCAUUGAUGGACAUAGGCAACUCAUUGCAUGCUCAAGGAGCUGCAUUAAAUGGGCCGAUGGAGAAGAAUAUGUGGUAAUCAAUUAAUUUAUAUUACCUUUUCUGCAUAUUUCCCUUCGUGAUUUUGAUUAGCUGUGUUCUUGUAGUUUGAAAAAUAGUUGCUUCAUCAUUUUUAACCUGCAGGAUGGUUGAGAUCAUUUGCACCUUGAUUAGGGAUCUGUCUCCUGGUUCUGGUAGUGCUGCAAUAAUGUCCAGGGGUGUCAAUAUUCUAGCAAAGAUGUUAAAAUGGUAAAAUUCCAUGCUUGUGUUUUGUGCUUCUGUGUCACUGAAAUGCAUGUCUGCUCUGUUGCUUGAUAUGUCUUUACAUUAAUGUACUUGCAAUGGUGGUUUACUGUAUUUAAUAUUUUUGGAAUUGCUUAAUUUUGUUAUCUUUUUUUUUUUUGAGAAGGCUUAAUUUUGUUAUUUUUGGAAUUGCUUAAUUUUGUUAUCUUUUUGGAAUUGCUUAAUUUUGUUAUCUUUUUUUUUUUUGAGAAGGCUUAAUUUUGUUAUCUACUCAUCUUUAACUGUUCAUUUUUAUCUUUGGGGCAGUUCCCCUUCUUUGGUUGCAGCAGCAGCUUUAAAGGCAAGCAUAUUUGAUUCAGCUUCAAGGGAAAGUGUAUUUGAUAACGGCAGUAAUGGUUCAUCAAGGUGAAUCUCUUGCAUCAAACGUUCAAAUUUUUGUGUUUCGUGUGUGAGAAAAUGGAUGAGAAUCUGUUUAAUGGUUGAUUUGGAAUUUACAUUGAUUGUUUCUUCCUGACUUAUUUUGUGGGUUGUCAGAUUAAUUUUCUGUUAACAUCUCAAUAACUUGUGUGAAUCUUUUGCCACAUUGUUAUAAUAUACUUUUCUCUUCAUUUAUACCAAUUUCAUGGUUGACACUUAACUGGAUCUUUUAAAGUAAUUUUUUAUGUAAUAACAUCAGAUGGUUGUAUCAUUAAUGACUUUGCAAGCUAUUAAGCGAAAUUGAAGCUGUACAGUUUGUUCUGAAAAGUCUUAUUGCCAUUCUAUUGUAUUUGUUACAUGCAUUUCUUGUAUUAUAUUUGACAGUCUUGCGUUAUGAGGAUUCCUGCAGUCAAUUCCAUGUAGCUGACAAUUAUUAUAGUUCAAAUACCAUUAUUGGGCUCUUAUUUACAAGUUAAGCUCUUAAGCGGUGAUUAUCAUGGCAUCAGAGCCAAUUUGACUUAGCAGUCUUCUUUUCCAAAUUCCCCUAUUAUAUUAAUCAAAUUAUAAAGGUUCUCUUCUUUGUUUGUUUAUGUGUUUGAUCCAUGCGUCCUGUACAUUAGAGGAUGUAUUAGAACUUCAAUAAUCUUUUUGGGUUCAGUUAAAGUGGUAACUUAACAGGUGUAAUGCAUGUUGAGAUGAUUCAAGCUGCUCCAUUUUGGACCAUAUUCUCUAUAAAGGAGAGAAGGAAAUGGAGAGUUUCCUUUGUUUUGUGAGAGCAGUUAUGCUAUUAUGGAUGAAGUUCUCUUGUUAUCUCUUGUGUGUUGUGCAAAAAUGACUGGGAGAACAUUGAGUGCCUUUAUCUUCACCGCUGUAUAAUUUUGAAAUUGUGAUACCAUCUAAAGAUAGCAAAUCUGAUAUAGGUUGUUAUGGAAUAUUGUGUAUUCCUAUUCAUAGUGGAUUUUUGUGCCGAUGAUGAAGGCUAAAAGCUAAGGCUUUUUUGGAGAUAAUCAGAGUUGUUAAUCUUUUGGAUGAUUUGAAUGGAAAUGAGCAAAAUAAUCUUUGAGAAUUCUAUAUAAAGGAUAAUGGUUUUCUGUGAGACAAAGUUCAUCUUUAUUCGUGUCUGUUUCUAAAUAGUUUUAGGAUUCUUCUUCAUUUAGGUUGGAUGCUUUUUUAUACAAUACCAGGCUGGAUGAUAAAGAUUGUCCCGUAGAGACAUUUCUGUAGCAUGAACAUAUUGUGAAUUUUCUGGUGGACCACAGAGGCUCAUCUCACUAUUCUGGAUCAUUUUUUUUUUUUAAAGUAAAAGUUAAACUGUUUCCUAUUAAGAAAACCACAAAAAAAAAAAGAGGGAAAUUUUGAUUCUCAUUUUUGGCUUCUGUUCUGUUCUGUUCAUGGUAGUUUUUUUAAUUAUAUCUUUUAAAAGGUAUAUGGUGGACAAAACCCAAAUCAACAUUUUAACCCCUACCUCCCUUGGGAUUCGCACUUGGGUGGCCAGCUAAAUAAAGCUACUUGAAAACCACUGAGAUAGGCCCCUAGGGCCAUUCUUUUUGUGGUAAUUGGUACUAUCUUGUAUACACAAAUGGCCUGUUUUUCUAAUUGAGAUGGUUUUGUUGUUUGAGUCAGAUUCUUGCUUUUUAAAUUCCUUAUGUCACCUUGUGCUUUCCAGUGGGUGGUUGCUUUCUGGAAAACUGGCAAAGAUGCUUUUGAUUGAUUGUGAGCAGAAUGACUGUGGUUGCCCUUUGACUAUAUCAGGUACUUAUCUUCAACCAGCACAAUCUUUUAUGUUUUAUAGAUCGCAAUGAGGAUGUUGAUGAAUUUCAGAAGAAAGAGAAACUUUUAAUUAAAUCUCAACUGUUGGACAAAUCCAAUGGUUGAGAUUGAAGGUCCUGACAAAAAUUUCUAUUAAGACGUCCUGAUAGUAAUACCAAUAUAUAUUUAAGACGUCCUGAUAGUAAUACCAAUCUAUUAAGACGUCCUGAUAGUAAUACCAAUAUAUAUAUAUAUAUAUGCAUGUAUGUAUGUAUGUAUGUAUAUUAUAUGGUAUUUUCUAUUUUGACCUCAUUUUGUCAUUAUCAUUCUUUUAAUUGAAGCAUUUAUAGACAUUAGGUUUAUUUAUGCUUUUUGUAUUCUCGUGAGUUUGCUUGUCCAUCUGACUUGAUCACGCAUUGGCGCUUGUAUUGUGAAUUCUGUAUUCUGAUAUGAAAAUUAUGCUUUGCAGUGCUGGACUUUACUAUGCAGCUUCUGGAGACAGGAGUAGAGAAUGAUUUAGUCCUUUCUUUAGUUGUUUUCUCCCUCCAGUAUAUUCUAGUAAACCAUGAGUACUGGAAAUACAAGGUGAAGCAUGUUCGUUGGAAAGUAACAUUAAAGGUAUGUUAUUGUUUUAGUCAGCUGUUACAUUACCAGGACACUUUGAUUUGGAAGAUAGGCAGUACUUUCCCUGUAGGGUAGGUUUCUAAUAGAUUUAAUGAAACUUCAGGAACUGUCCAUGAUGAAGUUUGUAGGAGGUUUAUGUCUAUUUUAGAAGCUUUAGGGAAGGUAUUUUCCUGUUUCUGGAAGCAGGAAAGUUUAUUUUCAUAUAAUUAAGCCAAAACCUUAAGAGUUUGAUGGGAAAUGUUUUAGAAUUAUGGUAACAAGAGGUUUAACUAAUGAGGUAUUUUGUGUAUUGUUGAAAUUCUCAAGCUGCUUAAUGCUAGUGCCACUGCCGGGUUCAACUGUCAUUUACUUCCCACUUCACUUUAAUGCAAAUAUGUUGAAGGUUUGAGUAAUUAGAUUGAUCACUCUAGAGCCAUGAUCUGGAUUGGGAAUGACACUUUUACUAGGCCAGAUAAUAACCAAAGACUUAACUAAGCUACAUCAUAUUGACAAAUUUCAGACAGGGAGGACGACAGAACUUCAUUUCGUAAACAUCCGUAAAUAAUUUUGAAAGAGCAGAAAAAUUGAACUUCUCUAAGGACGUUACAAAAUAAUUUAAAUGCUUGAAAAAGAAAUAGGUGUUUACCUAUCAGCCUUAGCUUGCUUGCAUCGGAAUCUCCCAAUAUAUUAAUUAAAUCAUAAAAUGUUAUGUUUUGUUAAUUGUUGAAAGAUAAUAUUGUUAUUUGGUUAACACUUCUGGAUGGGAUGAAAUGAUCAGUUCAAAAGUUCAAAUCUUUGUUUCUUUUGUUGAUGAUUUUUGUUCAAUGUUAACUUAACAAUGAUAUUGAUAUUCAGUUAAUACCUCUGGUCAUAAUGAAAUCCUGAGUUUAAAAGUCCUAAGUCUUUGUUCUUUUGAUUGAUGAUAUUUGAAUAUAUUGUCCAUUGGUUUCUAGUUUAGAUUUGUCCACCAUUGUAACAUGUGAAUAGAAUGAGUUGUAAAUUGCAUGAUGGUGCAGGUGAAAGCAUAGUAAAAAUUAAUUGACUUUUUUAGAAGUUAAAAAAGUUUCAGUGAACAAGCACAUGUAAUGGAAAAAUCUUUUGUUUGUUUUAAUCUCAUCUUAACAUAUUCUAUGUUAAUUAAGUAAAUUAAUAAUUACAGGUUCAGCUAUGCAUUUUGAUUAACAUCCCUACCAUACUGACAAAAUGCAAACAUGCCUCCUGUAUUUAUCAUUAUAUUUUAUUGAUGUUUUUGCGUCUGUCAAAGUUGAGGACCCUUUGGGUAUCAGUCAGAAUUAAAUUCAAGGAUAUUACACCUCUCCUCUUCUUCUUCUUCCAUUUUUUUUCCUUUUUUUUGUGGUUUUUUGGUUGUUGGGGGGGGGUGGCGGCGGUGGUUAGUGGUCGGUGGUUAAUAGAUAUUUGGAAGAUGUUAGAUGAGUGUUGCCCUUUUUGGUUUUUCUUGCUGUAUUGAUUUUCUUUUUGUGGACUACUUGGUCUACCCUCUUGUAUGUCUCUUUCUUAUGAAUAAUUUGUUGUUUCUUAUAAAAAUAACAAUAUUUUUUACCCUAUAUCUCUGCUUAAUUGUCCUUUUUGCAUUUUUUUUUAUGUUUAAGGAUCUAUAAUUAUCUUGCAUGGCAUUUUUUUCAUAAUUGCUUGUCAAAAGCUUGGCUUUUGUUUGAAAUUCCAGCAUAUUGUCUUCCUUCUGACCUCAUAUUCUGCUUUAUCUCUUCUAAUCUUCUGAUUCUGCUCAAAUGAAUGCUGGAAUAUUUUGGUUGGAAAUAAAUGCUGCAAAGGUGAAUUUUUUUCUCAUGUUUAUUGUUUUAGGUGCUUCAAGUGAUCAAAACAUGCAUAUUUUCAACCUUGGCCCCCAGGAAGUUGGGUGAGGUCAUUCGGGGUAUGCUACUCUGUGAUUCUUCCAUCCACAAUACCCUCUUUCGAAUUAUUUGUACGACUAAAGAAGCCUUGGAGGUCAGUUGUCAGCACUUACUGACAUUUAUUCUCCAUCUAUGAGUCAGUGCUGCUUUUCUUACUAACAGGAUCACAAUGCUAACAGAAACUUUAUGUCAUCCGCACUUUUGAACUGACGGAGAUUGAAGGACUGGAACUUGCAAUAGGUUCUGCUUUGGAUAUUUUGUAUACCAUGCUUUCAAAAUUUUCAAAGGUAAGCUUCGAAUUUUCCUAGGAUUGUAAUACUAGGGGCUUGCUACAUAGUAAAUGAUGAAGUAACACAUCAUGUUAUUGGUACGCUGGUAAAUAGAUGUACUAUUGUGUCGUUGUUAUCUGCCUGUCUUUCAAGUUCUUAUUACUGUAUCUUAUGUUACAAGUUUGAGUAAUCCUUGCGCAAGCUAUCAAACGGCAUCUGUAUCUCUUAAGUUCAAUUAUUUUUGUUUCUUUCCUCCAAGUUCAUAUCACUUUGAUAGGACUUAGGGAUAAAUUAGGGUUAAUUUUUAUUGAUUGAAUAAAAAGAAAGAACAAUCCUGACCUACAAUUCGAGAGGUAGGUCAAUCUCUUCCAAAACACCUAAUUAUUCCUAAUACUAGAUAAAACUCAGCCCUAAAUGACUCCUUAAUCUCUUAUUUAUACCUGAGCUCUAAUUAGUGAAUAAGAAAAAUUACUAAACUACCCCUGCCCCUUUAUAUUUGCGCCUAAUAUAAGUUUUCAUUGGUCUAACAUUACUCCCCUCCCAAAAAGACAUCUUGUCUUCAAGGUGAAAUUCAGGAAACUGCUGCCUCUUCUUCAUCGGCUUCCUCCUCGCCUUCCUCCUCAUCAUACACAGUCAAGACUUGUAGUGAUUUGUCCUUACAUUGAUGCCCCGGUAAAAAUUUCUCAUCACAUAAAAAACACAACCCCUUCGCCCUCUUGUUUUGAAUCUCCAUCUCUGUGAGGUGUUUGAAAGUCACCCCUGGUCGUGCCCCACUAAUCCGAUCCCUUUGGGAAUCUCUCUACAACCUCAUCAUUUGCAUUUUCUGGCCUCGUGGUGGUGAACUCUCGCUGAAACCCCAAGGUCUAAGUUUUUUGUCCUACCAAUGGUGUGCUGUUUUGGACUUAAAAACCGACUAAAUUGCUCCUAUUAAUUUGUUUUGUUGUGUUCUUAUCCUCAAUCAUCUGUGCCAACUCCAUUGUCUCCCUUAACCCUCUCGGCCUUAGCAAACAUAGCGAACUUGGAUUUCUGGCUUUAGUCCCUUUAUAAAAUUCCCUUCCAAUACCGUCUCUGCGAUUCCCCCUAGACGCCCCGAUAGCAACUUAAACUUCUCCCUAUACUCCAUGACUAUUCCAUCUUGAGUGGCCCAAAACUUCUCCAACAGCUGGUCUUUGAAUUCACCCCACGGCCUUAAUGGUUAUCAUUGUUCUCGUCAUUGAAACCACGCAAGGGCCUUUCCAUCCAAACAUAAUGCCGCCAUCAUCAGUUUUUCCCUUUCUGAGAGUCCAUUGAUGGCAAAAUUGCACUCUACCCUAUACACCCAUCGAUGGCCAUCCUCGCCUUCGAAAAUGGUCAUUUUCAAUUUCCUUACCCUAGAAUCCGCCUCAAGUUAAGUCUAUCCCGCUCAGUUUCGCGCCAUUGGAGGUCUCCAACCUCGUUAAUCUACUCCAGUUUCUGCAAAUCCCGAAGACCCAACCCGAAAUUCUCCUUGCCUUGGGCUGAAAUCUCUUGCCUAGCCACAUUUCGGUCAUAACCGCUCCCCUCUCUCACUAGAAACCCCUCCUCUCGGCCAUCCGCCUUCAAAUCUGACCUAUCCAGACCCAAAAUCGCCCUGCCCGGGACCCAAUCCAGCCUGCCCUGGCCCAAAGCCUGCCUAGACCCGAAAUGGCCUUGGCCAGGCCGUGCAUCACCCCUAAACACCGCUGAGUCGCCAAGCUCGACCAUCCCCAACUCCCGCGUGCCCCAUUCCAGUGUCAAAACGCCGAUGCUUGACCUUAAGUUGCCUCCUCCGGCUACGUAACCCUCAGAUCCACCACCCCCAGCCAUGACUCAGCUUCCUCUGUCGGGCCUGAUGCCGAGAAAGGCUUCCCCAGGCCGCGAGUCCCCUGGGCUGACCUCCUUGCCACCAAAUCCAUCGUGACCUAUCGCCCCUUGUCGUGCGAGACUAGUGGUUUUUGGCCCUCCGCCCUUUGCGCCGCCGCCGACCACAGUUUCUGUACCACCGGAUCCUUCUCCUGCCAUGCCCGGUGGUGGUUUAAGGUGGAGUUCCGUCAAUUUCAGCAACAUGGCUUCAAGGGAUGAAAAUUGUUGUUGAACGAUGUUAAAUCGCUUGUCAAUGGUGGCCUUUAGCGAUCCAACCUCUGCUUCCAAUUUCUAUUCAAGCGAGUCCACCUUCUUUGCUGCCAUUGUCCCAAGAUUUUUGCUCUAAUACCACUUUGAUAGGACUUAGGGCUAAAUUAGGGUUGAUUUUUAUUGAUUGACUAAAAAGAAAGAACAAUACUGACCUGCAAUUCGAGAGGUAGGUCAAUCUCUCCCAAAACUCCUAAUUACUCCUAAUACUAGACAAAAUUCAGCAUAAACCCUAAAUGACUCCUUAAUCUAUUAUUUAUACUUGAGCCCUAAUUAGUGAAUAAGCAAAAUUACUAAACUGCUCCUGCCCCUUUAUAUUUGUGCCUAACAUAAGUUUUCAUUGGUCUAACACACUUCUUAUUGCUUUCGAAUAUUUAUCCACUGAUUCUAUGCAUAUAUGGGAUAUUCUGUCUAGUUCUACCCUAAUUAUAUCUAUGCAAUUUAUAACUCUCAAUUUUGCUUACAGGAAAUAUCUUCCAUCCCUUCUGUCUUUUACCAAGCUGUGCUGUCACCUACAACAACACCAGUUCCUGUUUUUGCAGCUGUUACGUCUUUGAUAUCAUAUUUUCGCAAUCCUGUAUGCAUUUUUCUUAUCCAUACGCAUUUUUUGUUUGAUUCUUCCUAUGCUUAAAGUUGUGAAUAUUGGAUAAUUGUAUGAUCAUUGUGGAAGAUAAUGGCGUAGUUGUUUACAAUUUUAGGGCCUAAGGAUUGGUUGGCACUUCUAUGCGAGAAUGCCUGUUGAAUUUCCUCCAUGUUUGUAAAUGGUAAUUGUCUGUCAGGUGUCUGUGAGUUGCUUAGAUUAAAUUGAAGUCUCAAGUACUAAAAUCUUGGGGAGAAACCCUUGCUUCAGGUUUCUGUUGAAAAACAAAUGAGCUGAGAUUUAGCUCCUAGUUGGAUUUGACAUUGAUGGAAAAAAAUGAUCGCUAUUCCCAACUUAAGUUGCUAGAAUUGUUAAUUUUUGGGCAUUCCUGAACACGAUUUAUGUGUAAUAAACUAAGGUUUUAUUUAUUUAUUUAUUUUUUUGCAUGUGGACUUGGAUAUGUACACCUAUAAACUGGCUUGCAUGAGUAUGGCACCAUGCACUUUCUUGCUCCCUUAGGUAUGAGAUUAAGCAUUUUGGUUAAGUUUACUUUGUAUACAUGUGAACUUCACAAAGCAAAUAUACAAAUGAUUACCCACUUUAAUUGUCUGCAUGGAGUUGUCCAUCUGUCUUGACUGUCCGUUCACACUCUGGCUUAAUAUUAUAUUUCUUGUAGUUAUCAUGUAUGGGCACUUAAUUGUUGCGUAUCUUAUACAAAUUUUUGAGUUGUCUAUACAGGCUAUUCAAGUUGGUGCCACUAAGGUACUAUCACCGUUGUUGACCAUAUCUGACUAUUCACAACCAUAUUUUUCUGGCAAUGCAUGCUUUGGUUUUGAUGAUAAUCAGGUUUGACAUUUGUGUUCGUGCUCAUACUUCUACAUUUCCCAUUUAGUUCAAGUGAGUGCAGUGAUUGUUUCUUUUUCUUUUAGUUGAGUGAGUGCUUGGUUUCAGAUUGCAGAUUUAAGGCAUUCUGUUGAGAGCAGCCUACAGUCAGUAGAAGAUGAAGAUCUAUUUGUUGCUUCAGUAAAUUUACUCACUUCUGCUGCACAUUAUCAGGUAUGUUACAGUAUUUUCAUUUGCAAAGUUUUGAAGACCUCUUUCGUUAAUUUUAUACACGGAUGGAGGACUUGCAUGUUUAUAUACUUUGGUAUUGUCCUCUUCUCUAUGAUUUUGUUUGGUACUGCCUCUUAAAUUUUCACAUUGAACACUCGUGUAUUUGUGAUGAUGGAUUAUAUCUCUGUAACUUAAAAAAAAAAAAAAAAAAAGAAUUGUGUGACUGGUCAAAUUAUGUUGGUUAUGUUAUUUGCUCAGUAACUAUGUGUUCAAUCCACAUGAGGUUCUACCUAUGUUACUAUUGGAACUUUUGGGAGUUUAUGUUCUUUCCUUGACAUCAUGCUUCCAUCUCAAUAGUGAUGAUUUGGAUUCUCUAGUUAUUUUUCCCUUAAUUUUGUGCUUUUCUUUUGCAGCCUGCUUUUCUCAUUGCUUUCUUUUCAACUAUGGAGAGUCAAGAUGUCCCACAAAGCAAUGACAGUGGGAUGAAGCAUUCAGCAAAUGAAGCUUCAUCAGGGUUGCUUGGAUCCAAGAAAUCAAGGGUGAUAGAUGCAAUUCUUCUGUAUAUUCAAAUAUCUGAUGAUCUUAUCAAGAGGUAUUCUCUGGAUGGAGUUUUAGGCUGGUUUUGGUUUUGUUGUCAGUUGAUUUUUUUUAGUGAUGAUAGCUGUUAGAUCUUGUGGCUUGUAAUUUGUAUGUUGGAUACUGUUACUAUCUGAGGUUACAUGCUAUAAUCUGUCUGAAAUUUUAUUUAUCUUGUCCAGCAAUCCCCACAUACUGCUGAAUGUACUUAACUUCCUAAAGGCCUUGUGGCAAGGGGCUGGGCAGUACACAAAUAUUUUGGAGUCAUUGAAGAGCUCCGGAAAGUUCUGGAAGCAUCUGUCCUACUCAUUUUCGUUAAUUACCAGCUUGCAAUCUCCUGGACUUGAAGACAUAACAGAAGUGGAGUCUCACAAUUUAGCAUACGAAUAUCAGUGUCAAUCUGCUAUAUUAGACAUAAUGGCACAUGAUAUAUUCCUGAAGCAAAGGUUAUUACAAGCUGAGUCACUUGUUAAACAAGCCACAGAAUCAAACGGAGGGAUAGAAAAUGUAGUAAGUGCUGGACAGUCAAAAUCUGCAAAUGAUUGGGGUGCUGAGGAUAUUUUGUCAAGUUGGUAUCAGAGCUCUGUAAUGUGUGAGCUGAUCAAGUCAUAUACUUCCUGUGCGUAUGAUAAUGAGAUAAUUUUUCGUGCAAAGGUGACUUUCCUGCUAGUUUUCCUUAUUUUUCUCGGCAAUUCAGUAGAAAGAGAUAUGCAACUUCUCAUUUAAUUUCACAAUUCUCCAAUUGGCUUAAUAAGAACUUCCGAAUUACAAUGGUUUAUACCUGACUGAAUGAUACUCUAUGAUGUGGAGUACAUCUGUUUGUACACAUGGUUCUUUGAUAAUUGUUUUAUCCCCUUGUUUUAUACUCUUUAUAUUCAAAUUUGUAAAAACUGUAAUAUUCACAAUUUUACAUGCUACUUCGCAGGUUGCGGUCAGUUUACUUACUGUGCAUAUGAUAGGGAAAUUAGCAACCGGUGAUUCGGGAAGUUUGUCUGUUUCAUUGCUUGAGAAGGUUCGCCUUAUGUCGAAAAAGGUAUGACCCAGUCUACUAUAGGCAUGCUGUUAAUCUUUUCUAAUUAGGUGAUCCUUUUGAUCCAUCAUCUUUGUUUCACAAUUACCGGUCUGUUUUUCUCCAUUUCUUUUUGUCUUUGAGGUCACAUCAUAUUAUUUGGAUGAUGAUAUUUUUGUCAACAGUUGACCAGCCAUGCUGCUUUUACUCAAUUACUGAUGCAAUACUCACAGCGUCGCUACAGGUAAAUAAAGUUCAUGUGUUUUCUUUUAUAUCAACUGUUUUAUUUCGAAACAGGACAUCUAAAUCCAAUUAGCCAUGUUAACUGCUGAUGCUGAAUGAAAAAUGAUGUUUUUUUUAAUUUUUACUGAGGUUUGUAAAUGUAUGACUGAAUGUCCUUGUGAUGUCAUGUCAACUUACUUGUGUACUGCUUGACCAAAAUGUAGAGGUCUGGGCUAUAAUUCUGUUUCAGAAUAUGAAAGGCAUUAGUUAUAUAUAUGCACAUUUAAUUAAUUAAUUAAUUAAUUUUUUAUAAUUUCCCAUGAUGUGAUCACUCUCUUGUCUACUAAAUUAAUAUUUUUAAUUCUUUGGAAUUUCUUUCCAGUGAAGGAAAAGAGUUGACGAUUUUAAUACUCAGUGAUCUUUACUGUCAUCUUCAAGGAGAGCUUGAAGGUCGUGAAAUCAGUCCUGGGCCAUUCAGAGAACUAUUGCAGUAUCUGAUUGAAUCUAAGUUUUUGCAGUCGUACGAACAUAAAUACAAUGCUGACCUAUUUGCUGCGUCCGAAGAUGUGUACUUGUUUGAUCCUGUAUGCAUGAGAGAAGAUUUGGGUUUGGACAUGUGGGAUUAUUCAGAAUGGAAAGCAUUUAAAGCAAUUGCUGACACAACAUUGCAUUGCAUGCAAGAAGCAAACUCAAUGGUGUUACUUGCAACUUCAAAGCUUUCUGCUCUGAAAGCAUUAGUAACUGUCUUAACAGUGUAUGAAAAUGAUGUAAGUCCUCUAAUUCUGAAUGCCUUCUGUUAAGGUCUGCUAACCUUGAACAUUAGAGAUCUAGAAAAGUUUGUUCAGUGAACCUAUUUAUGUUUUUUUUUCCCCUUCUUUUACACUUUUUUUUAUAUGUAGAAGUAAAGUUUAAUCUCACUUUAAAGAUCACAAGAGUACAUCUAAAUUGAUUUGAUUUUUAUCUCUUCUCUUCUAGAGGUGUUCUGUUUAAUUUUCUGGUUCUGUGUAGUUUCAAUGGAGAUACUGACUAAAAGAAUGCAAUUAUAAGUUAGGGAGGUGUAUUUAUGUAAGUUUUUGAAGCUUUGGUCAGAAUUUGUGUUGAAACCCUUAGAAAAUAUGGGACGUAUCAUGCUAAUAAUUGAGGUGUAUUACACAAAUUUUUCGAUUUGCAUGACAGUGGGCUAACACUUUGAACACAAGGUAAAAAUAUUGUUAAUUAUUAAUAGAAUUUACAUAAAGGACAUUAAAUAACUCUGCUGUUCACAUGUUACAAUCUUUGCUCCUAGGAGCUUACAUUUAAUGUCAUUUAAUCUUUUGAGUGUUGGAUUUCUUGAGAAUCAAGAAUAUUGUAUGUGCAAAUAAGAAAAUAAACUUCUAUAUGUUGUAAAGAUAGAUUUGAUGAACUUUGAUCAUUUCUUAUAUUUUUCAUUUUUGAGAAUUUAAAAAUAAUGUUGCUGCAACAUUAUUUUUAAAUGAUCAAACUCCUACAUAUUGGCUAAUAGCAAGAGGGAUUUUAAUCUCAUGCUUUCUGGCUUGGGCAUAUAAUUUUCCUGUUUGUGCAUUUGCUUGUAUUAUAGAUUAUUGACUCUUGUCUGAUGGGCAGUCACUGGAGAAAAGGUCCAAAAUUGGAAGGAAGAACCCUGAUGACCUCACUCUUUCAUGCAUUGAUCACAUAUGCCAAAAUUUCCAUGUGACGGUCGAACUGUUAGCUCUGGCUCCAGGUGCCUCAAAAGAUAUCCUUGAAUUCCUUGCUGCUCAGGCAGAACUACUUCUCCAUCUUGUGAAAUCUGUUCAGAAAAGACCAACUUCACCCAUUUGUGUAGUUUUAAAAACCUGUGGCUCUGGCCUUAAAGUGCUGAGUGACUUGAGGUCAUCAGUUACUAUGGUGAAUGUAACGAUAAAGCAUUUGCUUAUGUUGCUUCUCUUGGUGAUGGAGUCUACUUGCCUUAAUUCACAUCGAGAUGGGCUGAAAGAUAAGGAAUUUGAAAACUUAGCUGAGAUUUCCAAUGUGACCUUGGGGUUACUACCUCUUCUCUGCCAUUGCAUAAUUUGCGCAGAGCAUUGCACUCUCUCCCUGACUAUUGUGGACCUGAUACUGAGAAGUUUGCUGACACCUAAUACUUGGUUCCCCAUCAUACAGCAAUAUCUCCAGCUGCGGCAUGUCAUUCAGAAGCUUCAAGAUAAAACAACUUUUGAAUCCAUUCCAAUAAUAUUGAAGUUCUUUUUGACACUUGCACGAGUUAGAGGAGGUGCUGAGAUGCUCAUUAAUGCUGGUUUUUUCUCUUCGCUUAAAGUUUUGUUUUCCGAAUUAUUGGAUGCUGGGCCUUCCUUUGUAGUCAAUAAUGAUAAGAUUCCCUUCAAUCUACCGGAUAAAACUGAAAAGCUUCAUCAAAUUUGGGGACUUGGCAUGGCAGUGGUUGCUGCUAUGGUUCAUUCUUUAGGAGACAGUUUUUGCACGGAUAUAGCAGACAAUGUCAUACCUUAUUUCUUUUCAGAGAAAGCUUUUCUGAUUUCUUAUAAUCUCAGUUCACCAGACUUUCGGUCUGAUGAUCAUGAGAAGAAAAGAGCUCGUGCACAAAGGACCCAAGCUUCUCUGACUUCUCUUAAAGAAACAGAGCACACUCUCAUGCUGAUGUGUGUGUUAGAAAAACAUUGGGGUUCAUGGGUUAAGGCCAUGAAAGAAAUGGAUUCACAAUUGAGAGAAACAAGUAUCCAUCUUUUAGCCUUUAUUAGCCGAGGAACUCAACAUGUUGGAGAAUCUGCCAGCAGGACUGCCCCUCUCUUAUGUCCCCCUGUCCUCAAAGAGGAGUUAGAUUGGUGCAAUAGACCAUCGAUCGUCAACAGCAAAAGUGGAUGGUUUGCCCUUACACCUCUUGGGAGUGUGUCAAAGACGAAGUCAUCUUCUGCUUCAGCAACAACUGCUCUUGUAAUCAGGGAUCAAACAACAGACAGUAGUCUUGCCGUUUCCCAAACAUACUUCUCAGAUGCUGUUGCCAUGCAGAUCUAUAGAAUUACAUUUCUUCUUUUAGAAUUUCUUUGUUUUCAAGCUAAGGGUGCUGCUGAAAGGGCAGAUGAAGUGGGAUUUGUCGAUCUUGCCCAUUUUCCCGAGCUUCCGAUGCCUGAGAUUUUACAUGGCCUACAGGUAUGAUGGUAACUUUUGUUUUAGUAUCCCAUACAAUCAAGGGCUAGUUAUAUAUCAUUUGUCAGUGGUUUGCCUAAUAAAAGAUCUUGUAAUAUUUAAUCAAAAUGAAUUAAAAUUAUUAAUUUAUUGUCAUGACGUUUUUCUGCUAUGUAGACUAUUUCCCAGUGCCUUCUCUUGACUUAUUAUUGGAAAUUGCAGGAUCAGGCAGCUUCUAUUGUUAUUGAAAUAUGUGAGGCGAAUAAAUUGAAGCAGAUUGAUCCCGAAAUCCGUCACAUCUGUCUUUUACUGCUUCAAGUAAUGGAAAUGGCCUUAAACUUGGAACUCUGUGUUCUACAGAUUUGUGGAAUAAGGCCUGUUUUAGGACGUGUGGAAGAUUUCUCGAAGGAAGUCAAAUUGCUCAUAAAAGGUAAUCAUUCUUUUAUUUUGCCAGCAAUCAUAUAACUUGACACAGAUUCAUAUAGAAGCAAUUACAAUUCGGUUCUUUUUCUAUAGCAACUGAAGGGCAUGCAUUUCUCAAAGCAUCAAUGAAAUCAUUGGAACGUAUAACAUCACUCGUCUAUCCGGGAUUGCUGUAAACCAAUGUCAUAUUCCGAGGAAUCAUUCUGCAAAGAAUAGCUAAACUGUGUAUGCUUAAAAAGAGGGUGAAAAUUUUGUAGAUGUUAUGAUUACUUGUUCUUUUCNNNNNNNNNNNNNNNNNNNNNNNNNNNNNNNNNNNNNNNNNNNNNNNNNNNNNNNNNNNNNNNNNNNNNNNNNNNNNNNNNNNNNNNNNNNNNNNNNNNNNNNNNNNNNNNNNNNNNNNNNNNNNNNNNNNNNNNNNNNNNNNNNNNNNNNNNNNNNNNNNNNNNNNNNNNNNNNNNNNNNNNNNNNNNNNNNNNNNNNNNNNNNNNNNNNNNNNNNNNNNNNNNNNNNNNNNNNNNNNNNNNNNUUUUUUUUGGGGGGGGGGGGGGUGUGUGCGGCGGCGUGGGAAGGAAUGUAAAUAGAAGGGAUAUUUUGUACAAAUAUUCCGGAUGGUUAUAUCAUAUAAUUGAAGCAUUAUUUUCCAGUCAUUCUUCUGAGAUCCAACGAGAUGUCUUGUUGUGGCAAAGAUAUUUCUAAUUGCCUAGUGAAAGUCAUUUUCAGUCAAAUUUGUGGAGAAUUUCAUCGACAUUAAGGGGGCUUCUGUUAAUUCAAUAUAGAAUUUUCAAUUUUGUGGGUUUUUGCUUCUGAUCAACCACAAAAAGACGUGCAACCGAGUCUAGUUGGCGAUGGUAACUCACCUGGGGUCGAGCCCUCACAAGGAUUUAUUUCAGUUCUCUCUCUCAAAAACUGUGAAUUCAGGGAAGACUAAAUUAGUGCUUGUAACAAGUUAAAAAAACUAGAAAAAGACAUUGAAUGAAAUUUAAUCAUGAUUUUGAGGGCACGCGUAACUGUCACCAUUAUUCAUGUACGUGAAGAUGUGAAUUAUCUCUCCAAAGGGACAGUAUUGUUUGUCUUUAGGCAUGCAGCGGGGACUCGCACCUUUCGAAGGUGGUAUCCAUAUAAACAAAUAAUUCACAAUUGUGAAGACACAUGGAUUUCAUGGCGCCAAAGUUCCAAUAUUUCGAAAUGGGCACACUACUAUGUUUGGUCCACACACAGAGAGCGGGAUGAUUCUUCUUCCCUGGGAAUAUUUGAGAUUAUUUCUUACUUUAGAACGAAAAAGAUAGUGAUAUUAAAUUUGUUACUAUAUUCUCUCUUAAAAAAAAAAAAAAAGAGUGAGAAGCCAAUGAAUGGCGCUUGUGAAGAUUAUUAGUAUGCCCCUCUUUCAAUUAUUUGUUUAGUACAAUGAUGAUUACUCACUCAAAUCACUUUUUUCAUCAAAACACGGAUAAACAAAGAAAGAAAAUCACUUUUGCUUUGCAUCUAAUACCUCUCUAUCUCUUUACCUACGUAUUUUUAGCAAGGAUGAUGAUAUAAUCAAUUCCUUUCCGCCGCAUAAGCUGUCAACUCGGAAGUAUAUAAGUGCAUUUGUACAAUUAUUUUUAUUUGGAAAGUGAUGUUAUAAAUUCAAAGCAACUUUAUUUUGGGUUUCUUAGCUUAAAUUCUUCUAAAUUUUUAAAUUAUCUUGUAUCAUUUAUUUAUUAUUAAUGAAAUGUAUGGAUGAAAUUUAACUACCUCUGAGUGGGGAAUUAUAGUUUGUCCAGUACAGAAUCUUUCUAAUUUCGUUUUCCUUCUUUUUCUUUCUAAAAGUGAAAGCUGCCAUGUUGACUAACAUUAUAUUCUUGUUUAUUUUUGAAGUAUUUUUUGUAUUUAUAUAUUAUUAUUUGUUAAGGAAACAAGAAGACAAAAAUGAGAAAAAAAAAAUAUAAUCAUCAAAUGGGCAACUUGAAUUGGAGGAUUAUACAAAUAUCAAAUGGGCAUCUUAAAUUGCAGGAUUUGUGGAAUUCAUUAAUGCGGACGUUAUUAUAAUUUGAAAUUUUUUUAGAAAUAAUAAAAAAUAUAAUUUUUUUUAAUUUUUGUGGCGGAGAUUAAAAUAAUUCGUAUGAAUUCGACAGAUCGUAUUUGUACACCGUCCGAUGAGAUUUAAACUCACUCAGUCAGGUGUAUUUAAUUGAUUAAAUAAAUACUCAGACCAGUCAGUUUGAGUUUAGUACGUAUGACGAUUUUUGUACGAUUCCGCUACGUAUCAUAAAUAUGCGCAAUUUUAAACCCAAACAAACGACGCCGUUCCCACUGACAAAACGACAUAUCCAAAACUAAAAACACCCAGCCUUGGAUCCCUCACAUAACUCUAGUAAACCUUAACUCAACCACAGUUACUUCCACCCCGCCCCACGAUACCUCCACGUGUCCCACCUCAACGGUCCAGAUUCACUUUUUGUUACUCCCCCACCGCUUCAUCCCCUAUUUAAUUGCCCCAAAACCCUAACAAAUUCGCCAACAAAUCACCAAAUCAGAAGUCCGUGUUUAGUUUGUUUUUUUCUCUCCAAUCAACCAAUCAAAAAUGCCAAACCCCAAAGUGUUCUUCGACAUGACCGUCGGCGGUCAGCCGGCCGGCAGGAUCGUGAUGGAGCUCUUCGCCGAUGUCACCCCCCGAACCGCCGAGAACUUCCGCGCCCUCUGCACCGGCGAGAAAGGCAUCGGCAAGUCCGGCAAGCCUCUCCACUACAAAGGCUCGUCCUUCCACCGUGUGAUCCCCGGAUUCAUGUGCCAGGGGGGAGACUUCACCGCCGGAAACGGAACCGGAGGCGAAUCAAUCUACGGCUCGAAAUUCGCCGAUGAGAACUUCGUGAAGAAGCACACCGGCCCCGGAAUCCUCUCCAUGGCGAAUGCCGGACCCGGAACCAACGGAUCUCAGUUCUUCGUCUGUACGGCCAAGACCGAGUGGCUCGAUGGGAAGCACGUUGUGUUCGGUCAGGUCGUCGAAGGGAUGGACGUCGUCAAGGCCAUCGAGAAAGUGGGGUCCAGCUCCGGCAGGACCAACAAGCCCGUCGUGAUCGCUGAUUGCGGUCAAUUGUCUUAGAUUUGAUCAUGAUAAUGAUCGCCAUCAUCACGAGCCGUCUGAUCGCGAUCGUGAUGAUGAUUAUGUUAUCUAUUAUUAUGUGGGCGUGUCUGUAGGACUUUUAAUCUUUAUCUAAUUUUCCUGCUAUGUUACUUGUUCGGGUCGGAUCGGGUCUCCGGUGGUGGUUCUUGAUGAACUGUUUUUUAUGUCUUUCUAUGAGCUGCCUUUUUAAAUAAGAUAGGGCUUGUCUUGUUAUAUUACGUAUCCUUUUUUAUGUUUUUUAAUUUCAUGUGCUUUUUUUUUCUUGAAUCGGCGGGAAUCCGAUGGCGGAAUUGCCGAUAAAUCGGGUAGAGGUUGGAUAAUUAUCGAUAUGGAUCUGCAAAAUAUCUGACAUACGAAAUAAAAAAAAAAAAAGGAAAUUUGAAAAAUUAGCGUGGAAUAUCCUUCGGAAUGUUCUUCUCUUGGACUGAGAUUUUUGUGAGAUAGUGAUUUUGCUGGAGAGGGCACGGGGGUCGGACUUUGAUCUGGGCCUUAAUAGGCCCAAUUUUACCAGUUUCAACUCGUGUCGGCUCCCCAUAAGCCUAAUCUUUCACUGAGACGAAUAUGAAUUGGACUUUGAUCUGGGCCUUAAUGGGCCCAAUUAUACCAGUUUCAACUCCUGUCUUCUCCCUAUAAGCCUAAUAUUUCACUGAGACGAAUAUGAAUUUGGAAUUGGAGAAUUGCUGCCAUUCGUCAUAUCUAUUCUUUCUCCCACUCUGUGAUCCGAUGAGAGGAAUCUUGGCCUACUUUUGUUGCCGCGUCGUCCAGUCAUCAAGAAAUUCUCGCACUACACAUAUAGUUAUAAUCACAACUUAACACGGAUCGACAUGACGUAGCUGUGUUUUGGCCAAUUUUAAAAGUUACAACAGAUCAAUUUUAAUUUUUAAACUAACGAAAUUGAAUCAGGCCCCAAAAAAAAAAAAAAACCCUCACAAAAAAAAGCCCAAAAAUAAAAGAAGAAAAAGCGUGCAUGGUUGUUGCUUUUUAGCACCAUAAAUACCGGGUAAACAGAUCAAAUUAGAAGACCAAUCACUUCUGCUGUGUGUUUUGUCAAUAAUGAAAUUUGGUAUCUCAUUUUUGCCAAUUAUGCUAUAUAUUUUUUUUUGUGUUGGGCGCAAUUUAUCAUUUAUUAUGAUAUAAUCAUAUUUUCUCCAAAGAACAAUUUCUUGUAGGAGACACUUCUUAUAUCGCCCGCGUAUAUAAAUUUGAAGUUGUAAGCUUCCUUACCAAUGGCACUUGCUAUCAUGUAGCCGAAUUUGAUGAUAGCAGGAAAUUUCCUGUAAACUCCAUUUCCCUCUCAUUUUCAAAGAUAAUUUUCUGCUUCCUUACGCAUUCUAUAAAUUAUAAACAAUAUAUAAUACAUUGUUUCUUCACGAUGGUCGUAUUGCUUGGUAGAAUACGGCUGAUUUAGUAUAAGGAUGACAACGUGGCGGAGUAAUUGGGUAGACCAUCUCGAUUACCCACCCCCAUUAGAAUAGAUUUCAUUCUCUAAUGGGGAUAGAAAAUCUUUGUGUAAGAUAAGUUAUCCAUCCCACCGUCUUCUCAUUUGCUUAUUUUAUUGUUGAUUUUUAUAUAUAAUUUUGGUGAAAAGAAAAUUAAAAUGACUAAAAUAAAACCACCACCAACAUAUUGUAAAAUAUUUAAAUUAUUAAAAAUAAAAAAUAAUCCAAUUGAAAUAAUAUCUUAAACUAUAUAAAAAUAUAAAAUAUUUAGACGGUAGAGAUAGGGUAAGAUGUAUAAAGCCAAAUUUCAAUCUAUAAAUUAUUUAUAAAUUAUUUUUUUCUUACUUUUAGAAAAAUCAUUAAAAUUUAUCUCAUUUGAGGUAGGAUUUCAUGGAGCAUUUUGCUAUCCUUUUUAAUACAAGAACAAUGCUAUCCUUUUUAAUACAAGAACAACUCAUGCUUGUGAACAAAUAAUUCACAAUUGUGAAGACACAUGGAUUUCAUGGCGCCAAAGUUCCAAUAUUUCGAAAUGGGCACUACUAUGUUUGGUCCACACACAGAGAGCGGGAUGAUUCUUCUUCCCUGGUAAUAUUUGAGAUUAUUUCUUACUUUAGAAUUAGGGCCGGCUUUAGAGUCUGAGGGGCUUUAGGCAAAAUUUUCUUAUGAGUCCUCUAUUUAUUUUGUAAUUUCAAUACUCAAAGACAUAUAAAAAGAAUUAAAAUUUAUUUCAUCUUUAAUUUUUGAAUUUCAAUAAUAAUAAAAAAAGAUCAAAAAUUUUACAAAUAAAACCUAAAAAAUAGUCAAGAAGGUAUUUUUUUUAUUCCAUUAAAACCGUUAAAAACAAACAGACAAAUAAAUAAAAACAAUAUUUUUUUCAAAUAGAAUAUUUAAAAUGAUAGAGUACAAAAUUUUGAAAUGAUGAAUUGAUGUUCAAAAACAAAAAUGGACUUUAUAUUUUAAGAAACUAAUUAUUUUACAUGAACCAAUGAAUAUAAUGAUUUUCUUUGUAUAGAAAAGAAUAAGAAAUUUUUUUCAUUUACUAAUUCUUGAGAUUAUAAGGUUUUUAAUAGAAAUUAAAAGAAAUACUAAAAAUCAAAGAUUCUAACAUUGAAUAAUUAAAAAGGUAAAUAAUUUUUUGGAAAUAAUAAUAAAGAAUCAACUAAUGGUUAAAUAAUAUUAUUAAUUAUAUUUCUUUAAAAUUAAGGUUUCCAAAAAUAGAUUUUUUUUAUCAAAAAUAACUCUUAAUUCUUAAAAUAUGUAUUAAAAAAAUUUAUUAAUUAGAGAAUUAUUAAGAAAAUAUUAAAAAAAUGAGACCUUCUUAAAAUAUGAGGCCUUAGGCGACUGUCUUACUCGCCUAUACCUAAAGCCACCCCUGUUUAGAACGAAAAAGAUAGUGAUAUUAAAUUUGUUACUAUAUUCUCUCUUAAAAAAAAAAAAAAGAGUAAGAAGCCAAUGAAUGGCGCUUGUGAAGAUUAUUAGUAUGCCCCUCUUUCAAUUAUUUGUUUAGUACAAUGAUGAUUACUCACUCAAAUCACUUUUUUCAUCAAAACACGGAUAAAGAAAGAAAGAAAAUCACUUUUGCUUUGCAUCUAAUACCUCUCUAUCUAACCACUUGGGCUUAGGGCUAAGCCCAAGUGGCUAGAGCUACUCAUUCAUAAAUGUGAGGGAAGCGGUUCGAGCCUCCGUAAACGUAUUGCAGGAGUUUAAUUUAAAUUUUCUUUUUUGGAGUCUCAGAGCUUGAGUGAAGACAGUCUUUCUCUCAGGAUGGGAGUUGAUGUUCCUCGAAUAUUUGAGAAGGUUUUAAAAUCUGAGCGGUGUCAUAUCAAAAUUGAUGUAAACGGGUCUCAAUAUUUAUAUGAUUGUAAAUAUCAUGAGCAAUAGUUCUCAUUCAAAAAAAAAAAAAAAAAAACCUCUCUAUCUCUUUACCUACGUAUUUUCAGCAAGGAUAAUGAUAUAAUCAAUUCCUUUCCGCCGCAUAAGCUGUCAACUUGAAGUAUAUAAGUGCAUUUGUACAAUUAUUUUUAUUUGGAAAGUGAUGUUAUAAAUUCCAAGCAACUUUAUUUUGGGUUUCUUAGCUUAAAUUCUUCUAAAUUUUUAAAUUAUCUUGUAUCAUUUAUUUAUUAUUAAUGAAAUGUAUUGAUGAAAUUUAACUACCUCUGAGUGGGGAAUUAUAGUUUGUCCAGUACAGAAUCUUUUUAAUUUCGUUUUCCUUCUUUUUCUUUCUAAAAGUGAAAGCUGCCAUGUUGACUAACAUUAUAUUCUUGUUUAUUUUUGAAGUAUUUAUAUAUUAUUAUUUGUUAAGGAAACAAGAAGACAAAAAUGAGAAAAAUAAAAAAAAAUAUAAUCAUUAAAUGGGCAGCUUGAAUUGGAGGAUUAUAUAAACAUCAAAUGGGCAUCUUAUAUUGCAGGAUUUGUGGAAUUCAAUAAUGCGGAUGUUAUUAUUAUUUGAAAGUUUUUUUAGAAAUAAUAAAAAUGUAAUUCUUUUUAUUUUUGUGGCGGAGAUUAAAAUAAUUCCUAUGAAUUCGACAGAUCGUAUUUGUACACCGUCCAAUGAGAUUUAAACUCACUCAGUCAGGUGUAUUUAAUUGAUUAAAAUUAAAUAAAUACUCAGACCAGUCAGUUUGAGUUUAGUACGUAACUACGUAUGACGAUUUUUGUACGAUUCCUCUAAGUAUCAUAAAUAUGCUCAAUUUUAAACCCAAACAAAUGGCGCCGUUCCCACUGACAACGACAUAUCCAAAACUAAAAACACCUAGCCUCAGCUUAAGGGUGUUCAUAAUCUAAUCCGAUCAAUUCAAUCUGUCUGAUCCGUAUAAAUUCGAUCCGUGGAUCCGUGAAUUGGAUAUGGAUUAAAAUUUUAAAAAUCCGCAGUCGAUGGAUUGGAUAUGGAUUUACUGGUACAAAUCUGUAAAAAUUCGUGAAUCCGCAAUAUAUAUAUGAAACACAUCCAUUAUCUUAUUUCCUUCUGGUAUCAGAGCCAAAGGAAGGAAAGUGUUGUAUAGUUUAGAGUCUCUGUGUCUAAAGACUUGUGUUUUAUUUUAAUUCUUGUUUGUGUGGUGAAUUCCUUACUGGUAGUCAGUCCCGCUUUAGGAUAAGAUUUUCCGCUUAGGGCAGUAAAACCAAACCUGUAACCAUACCAACAAGUCUUUGAGUAGACCAUAGGUUUUGAUCCAUGGAUUCUCUACUCUGUAGAGCAUCGUCCUUUUCUAGCUUUUCUUCUGGAAGAACUAGCGAUUCAAAGAAUGUUGUGAAUUCUGAAGAAUUUGUUAUCGAAGACUUCAAUAAAGCAAUUGAUAAUUGUGAAUUACCAAAGGUGAAUAAAGAAAUGAUUUACAAAACAAAAAUCCUUGAUUUUUUAAAAAACAUAAAGACCGAAGAACGUGACAUAACCCUUUCAGAACCUUUUGAAACAAUUCAUUUGUUUUCAUAACAGUCUUUAAAGAAAUUAAAAGAUAAAAAUUUUAAUUAUAUUCACAUCGAACUAAUACAAGUCGGCAUAAAACCUCUAACAAAAGAAGGUCUUGAUACGUCUAUUCUGGCUGUCCUGAGAAAUGUUCGUUUCAUCUCCUUUGAUGAUUCUUUACUAAGUAGUAUAGAAUCAAGUCUUUGUAAAGGUCCCAUUUCAUUCAAUUGUUAUCCCAACAUAACAAUUUCUUUAAAAGACAAGAACAUUUUAAAAAGUAUGAUUUUACAAAUCAAGACCCAUAAUUAUCACAUGAUAAAAGGAUCUGUCCCAGUUGCUUUAAUCUUUAAAAUUUCUUAUAAAGCCAUGAUUUCUGCGUUUAGCACGCAACAUAAAUUCCAGUCAAAAAGAGACGAGACUCUCCUUUUACAAACUGAUCUGUCCAAAGCAAAUACUGUCAUUCCAAAACCAAUACAAUGGAAAGAUAUCAAUCUUCCAGAUGAAUGGAUUUUUGAAGGUGCCACUGCACCAGUGAUUCCGAAACAACAUGAGCAAAGACAGGAAGAGAAUGACCCUUCUCCUCCAACUUCUCCUACGUUUUCUACUGUCACAGAAAAUGUAAUAAAUGUCAUAACGAAAGACUUUGAGCUGAAUAAAACUCUUCUUCACAAUGAUUUUUAUUAAGAUAAUAAUAAAGAAAAAUGACUCUGGUUUUUUAAACAUUUUCUAAAUCAAAGAAAAGAAAUUCAAGAGACAUAUUAUGCAUUUGUAAAUUCUCAAAAAAUUCAUAUAUUGUUUUUUGAUUGGUUUGAGAUAUAUUCUUCCAAUAACAACAUCUCUUAUCCUUUUAAAGAGUCAAACCCUAUUACUGUUAGGAAGAAAACCCCUGAGUGGAAUCUUUCUGAUAGCAAUAGAACCAUAGAAUCUGAACAUCCACAUCUUAGGAGUUUAACUAUUAACCAUGGUGAACCUCCUAUUGAGAUUAGAGCCUCACCUUACAAAAUCCCAAAACCAAAUGAUUCUGAUGCGAAUUUAAGUAGUAUUAUUCAACAGAAUAAUUUUUGUAAUACUAACUUAAAUACUAUAGGAAAACAAUUGACUAGGAUAGAGAGCCAGUUCCAAAAGCCAACCAUAAAAGUUUCUCUUGUUUCAUCAAAAUCGGAUUCUGACAAAAAGCUUAAGGAACCUAUUUUCAAACCUUUCCAGGUUUCGAAAACUAGCCAAAAGCUUGUUCAAGAGUCAAAAUCAGAUUUUGCUAAAGCCAUUAGAGACCAAUUAGAUAGAAUAGAAGCUUCCUCUUCUUCUUUUUCUUCUAAGGUCCAAAUAGCCCCUGAUAGUGCCUAAUCCAGCAAGAUUGGUGUACUAGAGCAUGACGAUGUUUCUAUAGUCUCUUCAGACAUAGAAACAUUUAAAGAAAAACCUUAUGAUCCUCAUGCUAACAAAAUCCAUUGGGAUUUAGCCCUACCUACUGUCAAGACUCCACCAGAUCUAGCUAUAAAUAAUAGACCAAGUGCUUUAAAUCAAUCACGAUUUAAUGCAUCUUCUGUCUAUGAGUGGAAUAUUGAUGGUAUGUCUGAAUACAACAUUCUAGGAUUGUUGCAACAAAUGACCAUGGCAGCCAAUGCCUAUAAAACACAGACGGGAACUUCGGAUAGAGCCAUUGCAGAAAUUCUCGUUGCUGGUUUUACUGGUCAACUUAAAGGAUGGUGGGAUCAUCUCCUUACCAAACAACAACAAUUAGAUAUCCUAAACUCCAUUCAAGUUGAUGAGAAUAAUGUCCCUAUUCUUGAUGAGUUCAAUAGUCCAAUUCAGGAUGCUGUAGCUACCCUGAUUCUGACUAUAUCCCUCCAUUUCAUAGGUGACCCUUCUCACCUUAGAGACAAAAACGCCGAGUUACUACACAACCUGAGGUGUAGAAAACUUAGUGAAUUCCAAAGUUAUAAAACCACUUUCUUCACCAGACUCUUCCUUAGGGAUGAUUCAAAUCAUAUAACUUGGAAAGAGAAAUUCCUUGCAGGUUUACCUACCCUACUAGGAGAAAAGGUUAGGAAUUCCAUUAAAGCUCUUUAUGAUAACCGAAUUCCUUAUGAUGAGCUCACCUAUGGUGAACUUGUUAGUUUUGUCAAUAAGGAAGGCUUAAAGAUUUGUCAAGAUUUGAAGAUACAGAAACGUCUAAAAUGGGAGCUUAAGAAGUCUAAGCAAGAAUUAGGCAGUUUCUGUAAACAAUUCAAUUAUGACCCCUUUAAGACUUCUACUUCCAAAGAUUGUAAUGGUAAGUGUUCUACAAAACCUUACAAGAAACAUUACAAAUCUAGAUUUCAUAAGAAACCCUUUCAAGACUUUAGAGAACUUCCUUAUAAGAAACAUUCGAGGCCUUAUAAGAAACCCAGCUUCUCUAAAAAGAAAGAGUUUAGAGCCAAACCAAAAAUCUCGUUUAAUUAUAAAGAAGCCACAUGUUACAAAUGUGGAAAGAAAGGCCAUACUGCAAAGUUUUGCAGAAUGAACAGAAAGCUCCAUGAGCUUGAUCUUGAUGAAGAAACCUCUCCAAAGUUGCCUCUUUGCUUAUAGAGUCUUCUGACUCUGAGUCUUCCAUGACGGGAUAUAGUGAACCUCUACAAGUUGAUGAGUUAAAUGACUCUGAAUUUGUUUCUUUGAGUGACUCCGACACCAGCAAUUCAGAUUCCUAUUUAAAGAAAAUCAAUGUUUUCACUAAAGACCAAGAAAUUUUUCUUGAACUUGUUAAACAUAUCACUGCUCCGAAUCUUCAGAAAGAAUACCUUGAUAAACUUUUAAAGACCUUAGAUUCUAAUAAAGCAGAAACUUCUAAAGUUCCAAUUGUUAAAAAGAACUCUUAUGACCUUACUGAGAUUUUGGACAAAAAGAAAACAAAGAAAAUUAUCCCCAAUAUCCAAGAUCUUCAGAAAGAGAUCAAAGAAAUCAAACUUGAGAUUAAAGAAUUAAAAGAAAAACUAAAGAAUGAUUCUGAUACUAUCCAACUUCUCAUACAAAAACAAUUAGAAGAUAAUUCUGAUAAAGAAGCCAAAACUGAUGGUGACAAUGAACAAAACCUUGAAAACAUUGAAUCUGCACCUAAUGAUUUCCUAUUUGUUUUAAAACAAAUCACCACCAGAAAGUAUUUGAUGAAAAUCACUUUAAUUUUUUCUAAAGAUUUUGAAAUUGACACCAUUGCCCUCUUUGACACUGGUGCCGAUUUGAAUUGCAUUAAAAAAGAUAUUGUCCCUAAAAAAUUCCAUGAAAAGACAAAUGAAAGACUCUCGGCCGCCAAUAAUUCAAAACUAAAAAUUAAGUCAAAAGUAGACGCCUCAGUGCAUAACAAUGGUUUUGAAUUCAGAACUUCUUUUCUUCUUACAAAUCACAUACACCAUACUGUCAUUUUAGGAACCCCAUUUAUAAAUUUAAUUACCCCAUAUACUGUCAAUUAUGAUAGCAUAUCUUUUAAAGCAAAAUCCAAAAAGCUUGUUUUUUAUCUUUUAAAGCAAAAUCCAAAAAGUUUGUUUUCUCUUUUAUUGAAAAACCAAAAACGAGAAAUCUAAAUAUUGUUAAAGCUUGUUCUGUUUACCAGAACCAAAUCAAUGCCAUACUUAAAUCUAAACAAAAUAACUUUUUUUGCUUAAAAAAUGAUUUAAGUUUACAAAGAAUUGAAAGCCAAUUACAAAAUGACUUUAUACAAAGGAAAAUCUCUGAUUUUAAAAAUCUCAUUGAAAAAGAAAUAUGCGCCGAUUUACCAUCUGCUUUUUGGGAAAGAAAACAACAUUUGGUAGAUUUGCCCUAUGACAAUUCUUUUGAUGAAAAACAAAUACCCACUAAAGCUCGUUCAAUCCAAAUGAACAUGGAAUUAGAACAACAUUGUAAAAAUGAGAUAAAAGAUUUAGAAACCAAAGGACUCAUUGUAAAGUCCAGAUCCCCAUGGUCUUGUGCCGCUUUUUAUGUUAAUAAAAACUCCGAAAUAGAAAGAGGAACACCAAGACUUGUAAUAAAUUACAAACCUUUAAAUAAAACAUUAAAAUGGAUUAGAUAUCCUAUACCUAAUAAAAACGAUUUACUCCAGAAAUUAUGUUCAGCUUUUAUUUUUUCAAAAUUUGACAUGAAAUCGGGUUUUUGGCAAAUCCAAAUCCACCCUAAUGACCGCUAUAAAACUGCCUUUACCGUUCCUUUUGGACAAUAUGAGUAGACUGUAAUGCCAUUCGGUUUAAAGAAUGCACCAUCAGAGUUUCAAAGAAUCAUGAAUGACAUCUAUAACCCUUAUUCUGAGUUUUGCAUUGUUUAUAUAGAUGACGUGUUGAUUUUUUCUCAAACAAUUGAUCAACAUUUCAAGCAUUUAAAAACCUUUUAUUUUGCCACUAAGAAGGCUGGCCUAGCCCUUUCUAGUUCUAAAGUUUCAUUGUUCCAAACAAAAGUCAGAUUCCUUGGUCACUAUAUUUCUAAAGGAACUAUCACCCCUAUUGAACGAUCACUUUUGUUUGCGGAUAAAUUUCCUGACAAAAUUCUUGAUAAAACCCAACUACAAAGAUUUUUAGGAAGUCUAAAUUAUGUUCUUGAUUUCUGUCCUAAUAUUACCCGGAUGUCUAAACCUUUGCAUGACAGAUUAAAAAAGAAUCAUGUUGCAUGGACAGAUGAACACACCAAAGCUGUCUGAUUGAUAAAAAAUUCUGUAAAGAAUAUUCUUUGUUUAUUCUUGGCAAAUCCUGCAUUACCUAAAAUAGUUGAAACAGAUGCAUCUGAUUUAUGCUAUGGAGGUAUACUAAAACAAAAAGAGAAUGAUAAAGAACGGAUAGUACAAUAUGUUUCUGCACAUUGGAAUGAUUGGCAGAAAAAUUAUUCUACUAUAAAAAAAGAAAUUCUUUCUAUUGUUUUAUGCAUAUCUAAAUUCCAAAGUGAUUUAUUAAAUCAAAAAUUUCUGCUUAGAAUUUAUUGCAAAGCUGCAAAACAUGUUUUGGAAAAAAAUGUUCAAAAUAUUGCUUCAAAACAAAUUUUUGCAAGAUGGAAAGCCAUUUUAAGUGUUUUUGAUUUCAAUAUUGAAUUUAUUAAAGGAGAUAAAAAUUAUGUCCUUGAUUUUCUAACCAGAGAAUUUCUCCAAAACAGAUAAUGCCGCCAAGAAAGAAGGAAAAAGGUAAAGCUGUUCUUAAAGACUCUGAGUCUCAAGCAACCUCUAAAGAACCUCAUUCAACCCCUUCUAAAGAAAAAUUGCUUUCUUCUGCCAUGCUCAUCAAAUCCUGGAUUGAAAUGGUUGAAGAACAAGAAGCCCAAUACAAAGCAAUUACCUCUGAUGACCAAGUAAAACAAUGGAUGAGUUCCAUUACAAAAUCCCCUGAGCUUAUGCUCGCUCUACAAAGCUUUUCCCAAAGCCAAAUUUCUCCUAAAGAAGAGAUCGAAAAAGAAAAACUUGUUUCCAAAGAGAUUUCAAAACCCUCUUCUCAAAAUGUAGUUGUCUCUGGUGAAAGUUCAUCUUCUCAAAUUGUGCUUUCCCAGCCAACGCUUUCAAAGAAAUCUUCCGAUUGGUUUGAUAAAACCCACUUCCAAAAUAUUUUAUCUAUGGAAGAUGGUUUUUACCAUGCUGAUCCUUUUCAAGCUAUUUCAAAGUUUUUUCCUAAAGGCUGGUUUUUCAAACCAUGGGAUCUUACAAAACCCCAGUCUUACUAUCAAAGCAUUUUAGAAGCCACUGAGUCAGUAAAAUUCAAACAUUUCUUUCUUAGUGAAACCCAUUCAGAGCCAGCCUAUUCUACAGCUACUAUCCUAAAAGUCUUGAGCCCAAACCAGUGGGGUGAUCAACUUCACAAACAAAAAACCUUCCCUCCAAAUUUUCAAAUGUGUUUACCACAUUGUUUGACUUAUUCCUAUUGGGAUUACCAACAAGCCUGGUAUAACACAUUUUUUAUCCAAAACCCCAAAAAAUCUCACUCUUGGUUAUUUUUCUUCAAUUCAAAAAUAACUGUUCAAAGCCUCCCAAACUGGUUUCAACAUUGGUGGAAUUCUUUUGGCCCAAUCCCUCAGAUCCUAACUCCAAAUGCCACCCAUUGUUUAAACCUCUUUAAAACCCACUAUAUUCCUUCUGAAUCCGAGAAAAGGUUUCCCCCAUUUCUCUGUUUCUAUACAAAUUUCUUCCUUCCAAGGGUAUGGAUGUGGAACCUCAGAUUUCAUACUCAAGAUGCCCAGCUCAUCUUACAAAGGACAUUCAAAGUAAAAUGGUGGUCAAAGUUUGACGAACAGUCUAAAUUGACAGACACCCUGAUCCGCAAUUGGCUCUGUUCUAAAGGCUUCUUAUCCCUAUCUAUUAAAGCCGUGAAAGCCCAAGAGACCUUUCUAACCCAAAAAUCCAAAGCCCAAUCUCUGUUGGCCAGUGCCAAAUCUGAAGAAGAAUAUUUUAAAGUCAUGGAGCAGCUCCUCACUUCAAGAUCAAAAUCCUCAGUUGCAGACUCCUCGGAUGAUGAUCAAGAUGAAGAGCCCUUUAUCUCUCUUGGAGAUGAAAAUGAAGACGACUGCUUUGGAAUUUUCUCUCCAAUAAAGCAUUGUAAAUAAUUGUCAUGUAUGUUUAAAAAAAAAAAGAAAAAAAAAGAGUAUUCCAGUAUUUUUCCUUGUAUUUUCCAUUUUUGUUCGUUUGUUUGUACCCUCGGGUGGUCCCCUGGACACAAGUGAGAGCGCACAUGUCUCUUCACCCGAAUUAAAAUUAGAAAAGACUAUAUGUUCCAAAGAUUACUGUUUCAAGCAAGCUCCGCUACAGUAGAGAAGCUACAGGCCAGCUACAGUUAAAAAAAAAAAUUUUGUAUUUAAAUCGAGAGGAAGACUUAGACUCCUCAGAUUUUUCAGAUCUAAUUUUCUUUCUCUUCUUCUUCUCCCUCUCUCUCUCUCUCUUGGGAAGUCUGGAUCAAGACAUCAAGGAAACCUUUCCUGUCUUGUAAUCUUCCCACCUUUCAAUCUUUCUUCUUGAAGAGAUCUGUAAAAUUGUACAAAGGGUUGAGUUCAAAGAAAUAAAGCAAACAUGUAUGUUUAAUUCGUUCUUUAAAUUUUUAUUUAAAGCUUUGAUGUAUAUUUAAAGUUCUGCAUUUUAAUUUCCGCAAUUUAAUUUAAAGCAUUUAAAUUUCAGUAAUUUAAAUUUUAUGCAUAUUUUGCAGACUGGUCUGUAUUAGCUCUGUCAUAAAACUGCUACAUUCCUCUGAGGCAACGAGACCUGAUCUCUAUCCUCAGUUGUAUCUUCUCUUCUCCCUCCAUUCAUUCAGAGUGCUUUUUCUGGGAUCCAGAUCUAGUACUAUAUAUGAGCCUUUAGAUCUGUUGCUAGGCUUGUUUAAAGAACCUAAUUCAUAUCUGGUAAAGAAACAUAGUAUAUCGGCUGGAAAACAGAACGUGCGUGAUAUUGAUAUGUUCUAAGUCAGACAAUCGCGAAUUUAUUUCUUUGUUUAUAAUUUCUUUCUUAAAACACAUCCAUCCUUCGAUCCUAUUUCCUUCUGGUAUCAGAGCCUGGUACUUCUAUACCAGACGACUGCUUUGGAAGUUUCUNNNNNNNNNNNNNNNNNNNNNNNNNNNNNNNNNNNNNNNNNNNNNNNNNNNNNNNNNNNNNNNNNNNNNNNNNNNNNNNNNNNNNNNNNNNNNNNNNNNNNNNNNNNNNNNNNNNNNNNNNNNNNNNNNNNNNNNNNNNNNNNNNNNNNNNNNNNNNNNNNNNNNNNNNNNNNNNNNNNNNNNNNNNNNNNNNNNNNNNNNNNNNNNNNNNNNNNNNNNNNNNNNNNNNNNNNGUUUUUAUAUCUGCUGUACGGCCAAGGCGGAUGUACGGUACAGCAGUUAAUUAAAAAAUUUAUAAAUGUAACAUUACAUAGUUACAUAAGCACUAUAACAUAUCUUAGCCAUUACCCAAUAAUAAUAUUAAAUAAAAAAUAAUUAAAAAAUCAAAUAUACAAUAUAACUUAUAAAAAUUAGAAAACAAAAUAAAAAGCAAAGUCACACGCACUAGCAACAUCAAAGUAACAUAAUGGCAAGUUACCAACAAUUUGUAAAAUCACCCAAAAGUAAAGUAACAUAACGCCAUGAUGAGAACCAUCAAGGGAAUACCAUUAAAGUUUCAAGUGAUCAUUUGCAUAUUCAUGGAGGCCCAAUUACAAGGGUUAGAGCCAAAAAGAUGCAAACCGCUUUAAAUGGAUUAAUUGAGAAAAUAUGGAUUGAAAAUAAAAUUCAAGAUGCAAGACAUUAUGAAUUGGGCUUGAAGAGAAGACAAGGCAUUGUAGGCAUUAUUCAAGUUAUUGGGCAGCCAAAUACACAAUUUGUAUCAAAUGCAAAAAUGUCAAAUUCGGAAUAAAACUGGUAUUGAUUGAGGCAGAAGUAAUGUGCAAGCUAUAUACCAUUGGAAAAAUAAUUAAGUUAGCUUUCCAAUGCAUUUUACAGAGCUAGAUUUGGAGUUCUCUAAAAGGAGUUAUGACCAAUUCAUUAAAGUUUAUUCAGACUUGAGAUUUUCAACGACUCAUUCGUUUUUUAACUACAUUUCUUUAUUUUGUUUCAAGUUUGUCAAUGUAUAAGGUAAGUCUACCAUAAAUGAUGGUGGGCUAACAUUAAAUUUUUCAAUGAUAGCAUUAAUUAUAGUCGGCUAGCAUUAAAUUUGUCAAAGAUAACAUUAAUUAUGGUGGGUUGGUGAAGACUUUUGAAGCAUCCUUUGACAAACUUACUUUGAGGAUUGUUCCAAUGUUUCCAUUUGUAUUUUUAGGAUCUUGGGUUUCUUUUAGACUAUUUAAACUCAGCAACCUUACUAUGUAAUGGAAUUAGAGAUUAAUGUUAGUUGAAUUUGAAAGAUUAUUCUUUCUUUCGUUCUUUUGAGAACUAGUGAACUUAUCAAGAAUUUGUAUUCUUGUGGCGUUCCAAAUUUAGACUUAUUACUCACCUUCUCAUCUAUUUCUUAAGUGUGGCGUCAAUAUCAUUCUCUAUACCUUUGGUUCAUGUUUUCUUAUGCAUUGGGUCAAGAUUUUGUUUGUGUUAAAUCUAUUUAGAACUUUCCUGGGAAGUUGAAACUACAAAUUAAGUGUGGGUUUGAAAGUUUCAUUGUGGGAUUCGCAUUACGCCCAGUCACCAACAAUUUGCAAACAAAAAACCUUAAACUUUCCCGCCGUCACACGCACUAGCAACUCCUAAUACUGGUUCGAUACACUAUCGACACCAAUUUAAAGGACGUCGAUCGCGUGAUUCUAGCGAGAGCAAGCCAUCUUCGUCCCUGAGUCCAUCGAGCCACUUCCCAAUCACUGGUUCCAGCCAAACAAUUGCACUAUCACAACAUUCAAGAUCGCCACCCGUACUUCUCCUGGUUCCCAUCAUUGACGGCUCUGUAAUCACCACUUUUCGACAAGUGCAAUAGCCAUGGUGAAGGAUCAAACUGUGUUUGGUUUCAAAAAUUUCGCCAUUUCAAUUAAUUGUGGCUUUAUUUGAACAAUUAAUUUCGGUGUUAUAUCAAUGUAUUAUUGUAACUUUAUUUGAACAAUUAAUCUUAGUGUAUUAUAUUUUGAAACUUUAAACGUAUUAUUUUAGUUUUAUUUAAACAAUUAAUUUGUUUAAAUUUUAUUCAAUUUUAAAUUUAAUUGGUAGUAAAAUUAUUUUAUAUUAUAUAUUUUUUUAAUUUCAUUAGUUCAUGGAUUGAGGAGAACUAAAAAUUUUAAAUUCGAAAACUAAUGUGCUAAAGGUAGAUUAGAUAUCAAUUAAAUUAAAUCCGCAUCCGAUCCGCAAACGUAUAGAUUGGAUAUGGAUUGAGUCAAAUCUGUAUCCGAUUCGCAAAUGUAUGGAUUGGAUUUGGAUUGAGUUUAAUCAAUCCGUGAAUUUGAUUGAAUUGAAAAAUUAUAAUCCGUAAUAUUAUUGAUCAGAUAUAAAUUGAUGUCUAAUCCGUAAAAUCCGAUCCGCGAACACUCCUACCUCAGCCUGGGAUCCCUCACAUAACUCUAGUCAACCUUAACUCAACCUCAGUUACUUCCACCCCGCCCCACGAUAUCCCUCCACGUGUUCCCCCUCAACGGUCCAGAUUCACUUUUUGUUACUCCCCCACCGCUCCAUCCCCUAUUUAACUGCCCCAAAACCCUAAAAAAUUCGCCCAAAAAUCACCAAAUCAGAAAUCCGUGUUUAGUUUGUUUUUUUCUCUCCAAUCAACCAAUCAACCAAUCAAAAAUGGCAAACCCCAAAGUGUUCUUCGACAUGACCGUCGGCGGUCAGCCGGCCGGCCGGAUCGUGAUGGAACUCUUCGCCGACGUCACCCCCCGAACCGCCGAGAACUUCCGCGCCCUCUGCACCGGCGAGAAAGGCAUCGGCAAGUCCGGCAAGCCACUCCACUACAAGGGCUCGUCCUUCCACCGUGUGAUCCCCGGAUUCAUGUGCCAGGGGGGAGACUUCACCGCCGGAAACGGAACCGGAGGGGAAUCAAUCUACGGCUCAAAAUUCGCCGAUGAGAACUUCGUGAAGAAGCACACCGGCCCCGGAAUCCUCUCCAUGGCCAAUGCCGGACCCGGAACCAACGGAUCUCAGUUCUUCAUCUCUGCGGGCAAGACCGAGUGGCUCGAUGGGAAACACGUUGCGUUCGGUCAAGUCGUCGAAGGGAUGAACGUCGUCAAGGCCAUCGAGAAAAUGGGGUCCAGAUCUGGAAGGACCAAAAAGCCCGUCGUGAUCGCUGAUUGCGGUAUCUAUUAUUAUGUGGGCGUGUCAAAGGACUUUUAAUCUGUACCUAAUUUUCUUGCUAUGUUACUUGUUCGGGUCGGAUCGGGUCGCCGGUGGUGGUUCUUGAUGAACUGUUUUUUAUGUCUUUCAUUGAGCUGCCCUUUUAAAUAAGAUAGGGCUUGUCUUGUUACAUCACAUAUUCUUUUUCAUGUUUUGUAAUUUCAUGUGCCUUUUUUUUUUCUUGAAUCGGCGGGAAUCCGAUGGCGGAAUUGCCGAUAAAUCGGGUAGAGGGUGGAUAAUUAUCGGUAUGGAUCUGCAAAAUAUCUGACAUUACUGGGGUGACUUGGUCGGCGCGUGGGGUAGAGCAAGUAAACGGAGAUGAAAGGAUAAUUUUAGAUAAGGAGGGAAGAUGACAAAAGGGGAAAUAUAUUUUUUAAACAUGCAUUAUAAAAAUUGGAAAAUAUAUAGUAUUUGUCGUUUUGAUGGAGACCCAGCACGGCUGCAUGGGGCCUAGUAGUUGGAGAUUUUUGUGAGAUGUGGAACUGUAUAGUAGGUGGAGAAAGAAAAAAAAAAGGGCAAAAAAAGGAAAUUUGAAAAAUUAGCGUGGAAUAUCCUGCGGAAUGUCCUUCUCUUGGACUGAGAUUUUUGUGAGAUAGUGAUUUUGUUGGAGAGGGCACGGGGGUCGGACUUUGAUCUGGGCCUUAAUAGGCCCAAUUUUACCAGCUUCAACUCGUGUCUUCUCCCAAUAGCCUAAUACUUCACAAAUUGGAGAAUUGCUGCCAUUCGUCAUAUCUAUUCUUUCUCUCACUUUGUGAUCCGAUGAGAGGAAUCUCGGGCUAGUGUUGUUGCCGCGUCGUCGUCCAUUCAUUAUGAAAUUCUAGCACUACACGUAUAGUUAUAAUC